GUGGUAGUUUUAGACUGCUACUGUAGUGGACUUACGAACCUCUGUUUCUUUCUUUUGGCAGGAAGAGAAGGAACAAAAGAUCCGUGAAUUGACUGCCGAGUUAGAGAGUAUAAAUCAACAAUCGGAAGUUUAUCGUGCCAAUCUAUUAGCAGUUUUGAAAGACAUGGAGGAGGAGAAACUAAAGCUAUCUGUGAAAGUGCAAAAUGCACGGCUUAGCUUAAAGGAGUAAAUCCUUUCAUUCAUUUUUCUUGUUUCAAAUGAUUGUGAAUUUAGUUCUCAUUUAUGAGAAGCAUGAAGAUGAAAUCUAGUGUGUGUUGGAUACUCCGAAAGUAGUAUAGUGCAUUUUGGAGAAGCUGAUACGGGUGCGGUAACAAUUUCUGAGAGUUCAAGCAGCAUAGAUUUCUAGUCCCUAUUGGAUCCUCUUCUGCUUUACCAGCCAUUCUUUGCAUAUGUCCAUCACUUCUUGCAACCUUUUCCAAGAUGAAAAUUUGAGAGUAUCCAUCCAAUCUAUUUCUUUCUACAUUGCUUUGACAUCUGAUUGUGAGCUAUGCAAAAUCUACUCAGAUAAUUUUUCAAUAGACUGAGCAUUUAGAAUCACUAAUAUCACACAUUGAAAAAUUAUCAAUCAUGUGAGGAAUAACUGAAAACAAAAAACUACAUCCAUCUUUCUAAUCAUAAUUAGUAAAGUUAAGUGUUAAAAAUACACUUAAAUUAUUACUCUCUCCGUUUCAAAAAGAGUGAUCUAGUUUGGAUUGACACGGAGUUUAAAAAAGUAAAGAAGAUUUUUGAAUCUUGUGGUCCUAAAUUAAAGUUUUGUCAAAUGUACAAAAUUGUCAUUUAAUCUUGUGGCCUUAAACAUGCUGAAAUUAAAAUGUUAUCGAAAAAAGAAAUAGGUCAUUCUUUUUUAAACAGACAAAAAAAAGAGGGAAUAUAUUUUUUUGAGUUUCAUACAUCAACUAUUGAGAGUGUGAGAAAUACACCUAACAUAUCACUCAUUAGUUUGAAAAACAUAUCUCAAUGUUGACUGACAUGAAUUUUUUUGUUCAUGUUUUUUUUACUUUUGCUUACAUGUGUUUUUAAAAGCAAAUUGUCAAAAGUAUGCCUAAAUCAUUUUUUUUCCGAGUUUCAUACCCUAAAUUAUCAUUCAUAAAUUUGAGAAACACACCUGAAGAAAUUACACUAUCUUUUUUUUUUUAAAAAAAACGGAACUUGUCACAUGAAAAAAAAAAUACUUCCUCCAUCUAACAAUAGUUGUCCACUAUAUUAUUUUGGAAUGUCCAACAUUACUUGUUCACUUUAUGAAAUCAAUGAAUAAUUUUACUCUUAGUUCCUAUUUACUUUUAUCAUUAAUUACAUUUUCAAGAUAUUGAACUCUCUCCAUUCUUUUUUAUGUCCUCCUUACUAUAAAUAGUUGGUUCAUAACACUUGUCAUUUCAUAAAAUCAAUGCAUAAAUUACAAUAUUCUUCCUAUUAUACCCUUGAUAGUUAAUUAGUUUUGAAAAAAUAUAUUUGACCAACCUAGGAAAAUUAAUAAGUAAUUAAUGUUCAUUGUAAUUACUUCAUACAUUGAUUAAUUACUAAUCAGUUACUCUCACCAUUGCAUUACUCUAUAAAAUUUGAUUUUGAAAAAGAAAUAUCAACAAACAAAUUAAAAAUAAAAGAUGAAUAUAUUUAUCGUUUAUUGAAAAGUUGACUUCAAAAAAACAUUAAAUAAGGGUAGAAUUGUAAACUUUCUUAAUUUUUUAAUGCAAGUGAAAUCUAAAAAGAAGACAUAUAAAAAGGAAUGAAGGGAGUAUUUAUUAUAUUUAAAGAGUGAUAUAGUAAAACUACGCUUCUAUCUAUAAUUUCUAAAGUGCAAAAUCAAUAAUGGGCAACUAUUGUUGGACAGAGGAAGUACAUCAUAAUACUUAUUUGGCUUAUACGGUGUACACCUAAACUAAAUUCCGUUUUAAUUACUCCCCUCCCCCCCCCGAACUUGUUUAUUCCUCCGUCGCGUACACCUUUUCGUCCACCUGGUGUAGAAAUUGACAACACACUCUACUAGGCGUGUGAGUAAGUGAUUUUUUGCCACAUCACAAAGCUACAAUGGUAAAAAAAAAUGUAAAAUCUCCAUUUGUCUUUAAUAUUUGGCAUAUUUUAAACGAAAAAUAGGGCAAAAUGUAAAUGAAAAGUAAAGGAAACAAAGAUUAACACUUACUUGGUAAGAAUUUCCGACAAAUUUUGAAAUUCAAGGAGUUCCGCGAAAUCAGCCCUUAUUCAAAAAUAACUUUUAAACAUUUGGUAUAUUUUAAACGAAAAAUAGGGCAAAAUGUAAAUGAAAAGUAAAGGAAACAAAGAUUAACACUUACUUGGUAAGAAUUCAGACAAAUUUGAAAUUUAAUCGACCAACUUCACGUCUAGAAAAACCCAAAUCCAGAAGGAGUUCCACGAAAUCAGCCCUUAUUCAAAAAUAACUUUUAAACAGUGAAUUUUAAAUUUAAGAAAUUUAUAUCUUGCAAUAUUAAUUUAUCUAGGUAGCUAUUAUUUAUCCAGGUGAAAAUCCACAUCACCACUUUUGCCAGCUGUCGCGCGUGUGUAGUCACAAUAGGAGCAGGUGGAUGAAAAAGGUGUACGCGACGGAGGAAUAAACAAAUUCGGGGGUAAUUAAAACGGAAUUUAGUUUAGAUGUACACCGUAUAAAAAGCUUCAAGUUCAGGGGAGUAAUGAGUACUUUUACCUAAUUCAUAUUACAUAAAAUUACUAAGUAUAAAAGAAAAAAAAUCAUCUAACAUCCGGAGUGUUUUUGGAUCACAAUCAAUAUAAUAAUGAAAGUUAACCAAAAUUGCAUCUAAAAUCUUCAAUAAAAAAUCUACACUUCUUAAACAUUCACUUUACAAUCUUCAAUUUACCAUAUAUGAAAAAGGGAUAAAAAUGGAAUACAUUUUUUUUCUCAUUUCAUCUCCAACUAACACCAUGAUAGCUUCUCAAAUUUCUUCUUCAUUUCAACCCUUCUUGAAAAUGAACAACAACCCACCAUCCACUAUCCCUUCCUCCACCAUGAAUCGUUUUCCACUUGAUAAUUCAUGUGAUGAUUUUGUUUCAAAAAAGAGAGAGAGUAAUACACGCAUAUCAGAUAUUAUUUGAGGUGCGUUUUUUUAAAUUUAUAAGUGACAGUUUAGAUGUGUUUCUCACAUUUUCAAUAGUUUAAUCUGUUUAGGUACGUUUUUGACACUUCACUUUUUAAAUUUUGAAUUUUUUUACAGUUCCAUGUAGCUACCAUAUUUUUUUUAAAAAAGGAGUGUAAUACACACACCAUCACUUAUUGAGGUGUGUUUUUCAAAUGUAUGAGUGAUAGUUUAUGUGUGUUUCUCACACUUCUAGUAAUUUAGAUGAAACUCAAAAAAAGAAAAAAAAUAGCUCAAAUAUGCCAUCGAACUUUGAGAAAAACACUCAUUUUAUGUCAUCCGUUAAAAGUUUGGCUCAUCUAUGCAUGGAUAAGCCUUUUCUCAAACGGAAACAACAUAAAUGAACCAAAUUUUUAACUGAUGACAUAGAUAAGUCAUUUCUCAAAAUUUGAUGACAUAUUUAACCAUUUUUCCAAAAGAAAUAUAACAAUUUAAAUAUAUUUUUGACACGCAACUAAUUACCCCUUCCAAUUUUCUAACCUUUGGCUGUUCUCUAUCCCUUCUGACUGUUAUAUCAUUUACUUCUUGCAAUUUAUUUCAUUAUAUUUUCAUUAUCAGGUUAAUGUAAUUCACGUGUUCUUAAACUUACGUAUAUGAAUUUAAUUGUACGUACCGUUGAAAGGGUAAACAUAUGGAUCCGGUCGUUUGGUUGGGAACAAGUUAUCUCAGGUUUAAUUAUUUUGGGAUUAGUUAUCCUAGGAUAACUUAUCCCACCAUGUAUAUGGGAUAACUUAUCCCAUCACUAUGGUAUAAAUGGUGGGAUAAGUUAUCCCAAACAUGACAACCAAACAAGACACCAAAAUUUUAUCCCGAGACUAUUUUUUUAUCCCAAGACUAUUUAUUCUUAUCCCUCACACCAAACGACUCAGUUUUCUAUCAUAUAUUUUUAUUACGAAAUUCAUGCAUCAACUAUCCAUUGUCUUCUUUGUCUUCCUAAAUUAUCACUCUCUUUGUAUUAAAACACACUCCAAUGUUGAGUUGAUGAAAUAUUUGUUGCCACUCAAUAAUAAGCGUAUGCAAGGUGUGCUUUAAUACAAAGAAAGUGAUAGUUAAGGUAUGAUAUUUAUAAACAAAUAUGAUAAUUUAAGUAUAGAUAAAUAGAACAAUGAAUAAUUAAGGUAUGAAACUCGAAAAAAAAAUAUCAACCAUCAGUGAAUAUGCACUUCUUACUAUGAAGUUUUGUGAAUAUAAAUAGAUGACUACUAUAUGCAAGCUAAGUGAUAGAAUAAAUUAAAUCAGCAAACACACAGACAAAUGCCACCUUUGAAAAUUGGUCUUAGUAAUGGUAGAAAAUACUCCCUUUUGAUUUUUGACCAAUCAUGUCAAUAAAAAUAAUAUUUAAAAAAAUAUAAAAUGAAAGUGAUGGUAAAAUUACUUUCUUUAUUUCAUUUUUACUUGUGACAGUUUGACUUGACACACUCAUUAAGAAAUAAUUAUUGAUAUAGAUAUUUACCAAACUAUCAUAUUAAAAAUGAUGUCUUGGAAAAUGAUUUGGAAAAUGAGUAUUAGAUGUUGAGGGUAAAACAUGAAUUUUUUUUUUGUCUUUUCUUGAUAUGUCAAAAGUGACAAGUAAAAAUCAAAAUCUAUUUUAAGAAUAAGUGACAGUAAAAGUGAAUGGAUGGAGUAUAAGACCACAUAUUACAAUUAAAAAAUAAAAUGAAGAAAAUAAAAAAAUUCAGGUUGAGGCGCGGAUAUCUCGUUCUCUUUAAGGAGAUUCAAGACCAUUGCAAUAAAUGUUUUUCAUCGGUUGGUCCAAUAGUAUUCCUCUUGAUUUGUCCCCUCCAGAAUACAACAACUUAAGUAUAACUCGCAACAAACUCUGGCCAAGACUUUAAUUGAAAGCUCCACAAAAAGAACACAACUCUUCAAUUAAUACGAACUCUAUUUUUUUUUUUGACUAAUUUUUAUGCAUUCUUUAUUUUCUUGUACUCAAAAACAAUGAAAGACCACUACUAUUUAUAGUUAAGAAAUUCUUCCCUACAAUGAGUAAGAAGACAACAGAGUACUCCCUCUGUCCCUAAUUACUUGUCAAUUUUUCCUUUUAUAGUUAUCUCUAAUUACUUGUCCAUUUUGACAAAUAAAGAAAAGACAAAUUUUUUUACCUAUUAUACCCUCAAUUAAUUACUUUGAAAAAGGUAGAACUUUUUUAAAAUCUUUAAUUAAAUUUUAAUUCAUCCACUUCAUAAUUAAUAGGGGUAAAAUAAUAAACUCACUAUGUCAAUAAUUAUUUUCUUAAUAGAUGUGUCAAUUGAAAAGUGGACAAGUAAUUAGGAACAUAGGGAGUAGUAAUUUGUGUCAAUUCAAAAGUGGACAAGUAAUUAGGGACAUAGAGAGUAGUAAAUAAAGAUAAUAAAUGAUUUAGAGGUUACAUAAGUUAUUCUUUUCCAUCAAGUAAUGAUUAAUUAAGCCCAACAAACAAAAGAUGAAAUGCACCAUAAAGGAAAAAUAGUAUACCCUCCAUCUCAUAUUAUAGAUAGGUACUUUCUAUUUUACACUAUAAUUAAGAAAUUAUUAAUAGAGUAAUUAACUUUACUAUUUUACCCUUUGUUCAUAUUAAUUAGCUUCUUGAAAAAAAUAGGAAAUUUUGAAUCUUCAAAAUUUGUUUAUACUUCCGAAGGCCAUAUUAAUUGUAAGGGUAAAAUGGGAAAAACCUGAUUAAUUUUAUCAUGAUUUAGUAAGUGAUCAAGUAAUACUAACAAAUAUUUUAAAUAAAAUGUACAUCUCAGACAAUGCAUAUGAUGCAUCUUUUUAUUAAGGCUUAAGUCAUCGAUAGCCCCUUAAAGUUGUCCACAUAAUUCACUUAGACACCUUAAUUAGAACGUGUACCUAUUGAACACCUCUACCCUCCCGAAUUUGAACCAUCUGAACAUUUUUUGCCUACAUGGCACAUUGUUUGUGAUUCACCCAAAAUAGGCGCGUGGGAGGUCUUUAGUUAGGCAUUUUUUUGUGGAAAAAAUGUUCUUUCUUCUUCCUCCCCUCUUUGCCGAUCACUUCCUCAAUCACACUAGUUCACUGCCGCCAUUCAUCAAUCUUCUUCCUCGUUUUUUCUCCGAAUACUUUACUUCUUCCUUCAUCAUUGUUUUUUAUUUCUCCAUUGCCAUCAUACUAGGAUUGGCGGUACAUACCUUCAUUGCCGCCAUGACAGCCACCACCAUUAUCGUCAUUGAAUUUGUAGAGGCUUGAAGUUUGGAAUUUUUUCUUUGUUGUUAAUAUAGUGUUUUGGUAUUAUAUUGAUGUAGAUUUGUGUGAAUUUUGUUAACAGAUUUUCCUAUUUAUUUUUUGCUUUAAAUUGAUAUAUAUUUGUGUGAAUGUAAGGGUGUUCUUCAAUCGAAAAAAAGAUGAUCAACUAUAGAACUCAAAACGAAAUCCGACAUAACUCAAUUUUUUCUGACAAUGUUCAUUGGAACUGAUUAAUUUUCCGGCGACUUUCUAUCAAAAAUGGAACGAAGAAGACAAUUAAUUUUUUUUUAUUACCUAUGGCCAACUCUUCCACAACUCAUCAAAAAUAGCAAUAAAUUUUCAUUCUUUUGCUUGAAUCUAUGUUGCAGAUGAACCAAGAAGGUUCAAAAAUAGCAUAUUUACAAUAAAUAAUAAUAAUAUAUAUAAAUAUAUUGAACUAAAUAUUUUACAUAAAAAUAUACAAAGUGUAGCUGUUGAGAUUCAAACUCGCAAAGUCUAACAAGCGGCGAACCACAUGAACUAUGCCCCUAUUUGUGAUAAGUAGUGUCACUCUAUUACAUUGAACCAAUUUUCUGAUUUUGUAUUUAAUAAAAAUUUCCAAUCAAGCAAUGUCCCGUGACACCCCUUAACAUAAGGUAAAUCUGCCCUUGCUAGAGGUGAAUCUAAUACACACCGAUCAAUAAUUUUUGAAGAACUCACUCGAUAUAGAAAUGAACAACAAACACAUGAUAUUUUCAUUCCAAGCAUAAUGCAUAAACAUGACUCUUAACUUGGCGUCAAUUGGCAACUAUGACCUUUAACUUUGGGUGUGCACAAGUAGGCACUUAAAAAUUGAGCAAAUGGACACAUUCGUCCAACAUGGCACCCUACAUGGCAAUUUUGUAUCCUACAUGGUGUCCUACGUGUAUUGGGCUAUGUAGGACACUUGUGUCUACUUGUUCAAUUUUAUAUAAGUUUAAAUGUCUAUUUGUACACAUUCAAAGUUGGAGGGCAUAGUUAUUCACUGAAGCCAAGUUCAGGGUCAUGUUUGUGUAUUAUGCCUUCAUUCCAUCCAUAUAGCUCAUAGCACCCCGUUGUUGGUUAGAUUAGGCCCCAACCUGACUCAUCUUUGAAUAGAAUUGUCCUAAAAUAUCUUUUUUGAUUUCAUGUGAGCCUUUAAUUUCAAUUGAUGGGGUAUAUAUUUAUGACAGAUGCAGAGAGAUAUGAACAACAUUAAUUUUGUUGCUUGACACCUAGUCCUAUGAAUAAUUUUAUCUUUUUUUGUGGUUUUUUUUUAUAGCUGGGAAAUUAAUAUGUUAAUCAAAGUAUAUAUCUCCACAUGUAGGGGUAUUUAUAAUUGGGUGAAAAUCAUCUUAUAUGCUCGAAAUUUAUUUUAGAUCAAAUUUCUCCUUUCAAUUUUGAGAAAUAAUCAUUUCCCCCCUUCAAAUUGGCUUUUUAAAAAUAUCUAAGCUGCUGAAGCAAGUAAUAAAAUAUAAUGUGAUAACCUUAUAAACAUAUUUUGAAGCAAGUAAUAAAAAAUAAUUAACAAAAAUCAAGAUAUUUCAAAAUAAUUUCUUAAAAGAUUAUCUAUUAAUAUUAUAAAUAAUUUUAAAUUAUAAUUUAAGAAAUAUUUCAUUAAUGACAAUAAAAAUAGUUUAUCUAUAUAGGUAAUAGAGAAUAAGAUAUAUACAUGAAUACAUAGACGUGCCUUUUUAACUUGGCUUUAACUGUCAUCUAUACUCUUUAACUUUGGGUGUGUACUAGUAUACAUUUCAUUUUUUAUAAAAUUGAACAUGUAUAUGCACGCGUUCUACAUGACAAUUUGCCUAAGAUACACUUGAAUUGAGUGUAUUAUGUCAUAUAGAAAAUAUAUAUAACUAUAUUGAACUAAAUAUUUUACUUAAAAAUAUACAAAGUGUAGUUGCUGGGAUUCAAACUCGCAAAGUCUAACAAGCGCCGAACCACUAGAACUAUGCCCCUAUUUGUGAUAAGUAGUGUCAGUCUAUUAUAUUUAACUAAUUUUCUGAUUUUGUUUUUCAAUUCGGUAAAAGUAUUUAAUAAAAAUUUCCGAUCAAGCAGUGUCCGGUGACACCCCUUAACAUAAGGUAAAUCCGUCCCUGCUAGAGGUGAAUCUAAUGCACAUCAAUCGAUAAUUUUCAAAGAACUCACUCAAUAGAGAAAUGAACAACAAACACGUGAUAUUUUCAUUCCAUCCGUAUAGCUCAUAGAACCCCUUUGUUGGUUGGAUUAGGUCCCAACCUGACUCAACUUGGAAUAGAAUGGUCCUAAAAUAUCUUUUUGAUUUCACAUGAACCUUUAAUUUCUAUUGAUUUUGAAUAGAAUGGUCUUACACAAGAAAAAAUUUAAAAUACAUGAGGUAUAACCAGUACAAGUUGUAUGAGGGUAUUAUUUUAUUAGUUUAUAUUCUAACCUAGGAAUCCGUGUUCUAUUUUUCUUCUUUGCCUUUGAUUUCUCUUUCAUGCCCUUCUUUUUCCUCUUUUUUCUUCUUCUUAUUUUCUGUUUUUUCCCCCUAAUUCUAUUUUGAAAUUAAUUUAAUCACUGGUGUAUAUGAAAAAAUAAUUUAUUUUUUUACUUAUUUAUUUUAACAAAUUUUUUUUAAAAAAAUUAUCAUAUUUAUCAUCAAAUAACCACAUAGGUAUCAAUAGUCAAAUUAAAAAAAAUUAAAAUAUAAUUAAUAAGACUUGUUUAGUAAAAUGAAUCUUUAACACAAAUACAAUUCAAGCUAUAUAUAAAAUUUAUACAAAAAAUAGUGAAACAAUUGUUAUUAAAAUUGCACAUUAAAAAUUAAGAGGUUAUGAGCAUAGAAAACAUGAUUAUGGUUAUUAUUAUUUGGCAUUUGGCUCUAGAAUUCAAUCAUAUAUUUUUUACUAUAUUUGAAAUAAAUAGAAUUAUAGUUGAACAUAGAGUCAUGUAUUAUUUUUGCAAAACAAAAUAUUCGAAAUGAUAUUCAUGUUUGAAUGUACUUAAGUACUAUUUUAAAAAUGAAAAGUGAGUUAAAAAAUCAGAUUAUACUAACAUGUUUUCCAAAUUUGAAAUAUAUAUUCGAGUUGAAAAAGUUGUAUUCACAUUUUCAUUAUCAAACAUCAAUUUUCAAAUUAAGUGAAAAAAUAUUAUUUUUUAAGAAAUAAUUCUUAUGUUUGAAUGAGUCCCAAAAUUAGAAGUUAAAAAAAAUAUGAAAUAUGAAGAUAAUUUUUUUAAAGUAUGAUAAAUGAAAAAUGAGAGAAAAAAUAAUAAUUUUAGUUGUCAAUUUUCAUGACAUAAGUGACAAUUCAAAGAAUUAACUUGAAUUUUUUUAUACUCUUAACCCUUAAUUAUUUAAAUAAAAAUAAGAAUUUUUUUUAAAAUUAAUUAUUUUCAUAUAUAUAAACUAAGGGAAUAAUUAUAUUGGUUUAAAAAAGAUUUAGAAAAAAACAUAAAAUGAGAAAAGAGAGGAAAGAGAAAUAAAAGGCAAAGAAGAAAAAUAUAAUGUGGAUCCCAUGAAUCAGAAUAUAAAUCAAUAAAAUAAUGUUCUCAUACAACUAAUACUAGUUGUCCUUCAUCCAUAAUAAAUUCGUCGUUCAAGAGAUGUACUUCCUCCGUCUCUUUUUAAUUAUCUUUUUAACAUUAAAAAAAUUGUCUCAAAAUAAUUAUCACUUUAGAAAUUAAAAAUUAAAGUUAAUAAUUAUGUUAAUGAUAUCCUUUAGCAUUAAAGAAAUUAUUCUUUUUAACACUGGUCAUCUUUCAAGUAUAAGAAGUAGAAAUAAAGUAAUAACUACACCUCGUAACUUGUAUUUGUUAUAUAUUUUUUUUUUUAAUGAACGCGAAAAACAAGAGCAAAAACUAUGCCUACAAAUUAAUAAGAGGGAGUUGAGGUGAAGCAAGAUGUGUUUUCGUCGCCGUGUCUGUUUUAUGUGUUUGUGCCUCAAUUUUCUUUUUGUUUCUCUAAAAAAAUAGGUUUUUUCUUUUUUAGAAAAAAUAAAUAAUUAGGGUAUAAUUUCUGAACCCAUUUAGUGGUGUUUUUAAUUUUUCAAUUCAUAUCUUUUAAUUAUAACUUUAUUACUUCGAUUGUUGUUGAUAUUUGUGUGAAUUUUUGCAACUUCUUAGAGUAAGAAAACAAGAAUAAUACUUUAAUUUAUGGAUAUCCCAAUGAGCCUCCUCACAUUAGGCUUUCGAUAAAAAAAUAAUGAGAUAAUUUACAAUCACGCAAAUGUAUAUAAUUUAUUAUAAAAACAAAAAAAUUUAACCAUUGAAAUAACACGAUUUAAAAUUAAUCAAUAUUAAUAAUAUUUAUCAAGAAUUUAUUGUACACAUAAUAAUAUAAUUUACUACCACACAAAUAUAUAUAACUUAUUUUAAAUGAAAAACAUUAAUUUACUUUUAAAAAAUUAUAAAUAAAUAUUGGAUCCGUACAUCACAUGAAUUUCCCCUUACUAGUUUAUUACAAUAUAAAGAAGUAGGUUGCCAAAGGUGGACCUUAUCUUUGCCAUUAAAAUAAUGGUAACUCAACUCUAUAAAUAGCCUAGAAUGAUGUAAAUCUUCUUGUACUCCACUAUAUUUUCCCUAUUAGUAAGCAAUACUCUUGAUCCCUAGCUCAUUUUAUAGUUCCAAAGGCAUGGGUCUUAAGUCCAAAUUGUGUGCCCAAAUAGAAGUGAAGGCUAAGAAUGAUGUGUUUCAUGAUGCCUUUAGGCACAAACCACACCAUGUCUCCACCAUGUGUCCUGUCCAUAUACAAGGUUGUGACCGUCUUGAAGGAGACUUUGGAACUGUUGGCUCCAAAAUUUGUUGGAAGUAUACCCAUGGUAAGCCCAAUUUUGUCAAAAUUAUUAAGAAUUUUGAUUUUUUGAAAAAUUUACAGACAAAUUUAAGGUUUUUCAUACGUUAAUAUACUAAGCCUAUACUUAAUUAAGCAAGGAUGAUGACCGUGUUGGGCCGGGAUCAAACUUUAAGAGACAAACACUAUCGUCUCUUUAUUAAGAUCUAUCAUGUAUAAUUAUUAAGAAUGUUAAAAACCUUAGAAAAUCACUAUUAAUAUAGAUCAAUCUUUUAAUGAUAGCAACAAAAUUCAUACAAUUAUUUCUUUACAAUAUAUGUGCAAGUCCAUAAAAAAUUCUAACAGAUCGUCCGUUUAAUUUACUACAAGUGUAUAACUUGCCUCGUCAUUGUGUUACUAAUUUAAAAUGACAAUCGUAUUAAUUUACUACUAUUUAUGAGUUUGAUGUACGUAACGAAAUUUUGUAUAAUCCAGAUGGGAAAGAGAAGUUUUCGAAGCAGAUAAUUGAAGCUAUAGAUGAAGAGAAAAAGAUAAUCACAUUCAAGGAAUUUGAAGGAGAUAUAGUGAAUGAAUAUGAGAAUUGGAAGGUAAGUCUCCAUGUUGAUGAAGAAGGUGAAAAGGAUUUAGUCAGUUGGACUAUGGAAUAUGAAAGGCCAAAUGAGAAUGUCCCUGAGCUAACAAAUUUGCUUCAAUUUUUCAUUGAUAUGACCAAAUCUAUUGAUGAUCACCAUGUCAACAAGCCAAAUUGAUAAUAUAAAUUAGAACUAUAUGAGUUUGUGCUUUAAUUAAAUAAACACUUGACAUUAUGUUAUAAAAUAUAAUAUAUAUAUAUAUAUAUAUAUAAUAUGAGAGAAUGUCAAGUAAUUUGUGUUUUAUUUCUUUUCUAAGUAAUAAUAAAGACAUUUUAGUUUUGCGCACACAUUUUCUAUAUGUUCUCACUCUACUUAAAGAGAAAUUUUAAUUUUGAAUUGGUUACUUGUGAGUAUAUUUUGGUAGUCUGAUGAAGUUGAGAAGAAAUGACAAAAUACAAAUUGAUUUUGGUUAAUUGUUGACAUAAUUGUAUUCGUCGAUGCAAAUUGUAUUCUUUAAUAUAUUUGAUACAAUUGAUUUGCAUCAACAAAUUGAAUACAAUAGUCUUUGAUACAACUGUAUUCAUUGAUACAAAUCAAUUGUAUUCGUGAUACAAUUAUCAGAUAUACAAAUCAAGUGUAUCUCUCUCCUAGAUUCCGCUCGUCUCUCUCCUCCCUCUUCAAUCUUGCUCGAUUCUCUCUUCCUUCUAACAUGUAGUUAUGAAUCGUAAUUAGACAAACUAUAGUUAAGAGACUUGAUUAUAUUUCUAGUAUUAAUUAUUUUUUAAAGGAAAAAUAGAUAAAUAUACCCUCGAACUAUCGUAAAUGGUAUGCAGAUACCCUCCACCAUACUUUUGGGACAUUGGUGCCCCUGCCGUCAAAAAACUAGAGCAAAUAUACAAUUUAUACUAACGGACAUACAUGUGUCAUAAUCUUAUCCACCAACCCAACAUUUAUUAAAUAUUGGAUCAACGGAUAAGAUUGUGUCACGCGUCCCUAUUUAGUCUUCUGUUAGAGUGAAGAGCAUAUAUGCUCUAGUUUUUGGACGGCAAGGACACCAAUGUCCCAAAAGUUUGACGGAGGAUAUCUGCAUACCAUUUACGAUAGCUUGAGGAUAUAUUUAUCCUUUUUUAAAAUUUCCUCAUAAUAAAUAAGUCGGUCAAUAACUCGCCUAAACUCAGAUUGGGUCAAUCUUGCUUUCAUGGACUAGGUUUGUCCUCUACUUAAAACAUUGUUUUUAAGUAACUCGGACACAAGAUAUCAGAAUAUAAUUCUAGAGUACAAAAAGAAAAAUUAUAAUUUCAACCCAUUUUAAUUGAUUAUUUGGGAGAACUCUAUAAUUCCUUGAAUAUUUAGAAUAGAGUUAAUCGUUAUAAAGAUCUAUUAGUAAAUCUGUGUAAACAAUAGAUAAGUAUAAAAAUAAACAGACCAAAGUUAAUUUGAUAGUGAAGUAAUUAAUUAAGUAUUACCAUGACCCUCCUCUAGUGAAUUGUUGUAACGAUCUGUUUCUGUCGUUAUUAAAAAUUUACUUAAAAAUACCAUUUUACUCCUCCCGAUAUUGGUUCCGAGUCACUUUUGAUGAGUUUUGAAAUUUGUUUCGAGUUUUGAAUUAAAAGUUGUGAAUUAUGGGAAUUUGAAAUGUUAAAGUUGUUAAAAAGUGAUUUUAAGUGUCUUUUGGAGUUUCGGGUGUCGGAAUGGAAUUCCGUCGAUUCCAUCAAUUUCGGAAUGUGAAAUUUUGCGUAAGGGAGUUGUCAGUUUCAGAUUCGGAGUCUUUUUGAGGAUUUGAGGUCCUAAGUUGGAAAUUGUUGAGAUUUUAGCCUUUGGGUUGACUUUGGUCAAUAUUCGGGGUUUGAGUUCUCGGAUCAGAAUUUCGAAAGUUUUGUUGGAUUCAGGGGAUGAUUUUACACCUAGAGGAGGUCUUGAUUGAAUUUUUGAAGGCCCCAAGCUUGCUUUUGCCUUUUUAGGUGUUAUGUUCGUUUUUGGUGACUUUCACGGAUAUCUGGAAUAUCGAUUUUAGUCAAAUUACAUAUAUGAUUUGUGUGUACGGGGUUCUGAACAAAUCUCGAGGGUCCUUUUGAUGAUUUGAAAGUCGUUGGUAUUUCUGAUGCUGGUAGGCCUUGCUUUCGCGAAGGUUACCUCGUGAUCGCAAGGUUCGCGUUAGCGAGACCCUGGUCGCAAAAGCAAAGGGCCCUUUUUGGCGGGGUUCGCUUAAGCAAACCAUGGGUCUCGACCGUGAGGGUCACGAAAGUGAACCCUGGUUCGCGAGAGUGAGACUCCAUUUGUUUAGGGGUUCGCUUAAGUGACAUCAAAGAGGAUUUAUGCCUCCCAUUUCGGAGUUUUACCCCCCAUUUUCUCUCAUCUGGAGUUUUGAAAAAUCCUUGGAGGCGAUAUUGAAGAGAUUUUCGGUGUUAAAUCAUUUGGGUAAGCCUUUGUGACUCUAAAACUUCAAUUCCUUUUAGAUAUAUGUGGAUUUUAACAUCAAAACUUGGGAUUUUGAUGGGCAAAUGACAAGGUUAUUCAAGAACUUUAGUUCUAAAGUAAAAUGGUGAUUUUGAACUGAUUUUAAUUUUUUUUUUUCGAAAUGAUUUUCACCAAUGAGUUCCAAAUGUCUUGCGAAACAUUUUCAAGUAAAGAUUUUCGAAUUCAAACCUCAUUUUCAGUAUUGGGUUUUUGAGUUGAUUUGACCCAUUUUUCAAAAUAAAUUAUUUGGGUGUUGUUAUUUCCGGAAUCUUACUGUAGUUACUUGAUUGAAUUAGAUUGUGUGGCAUUGGACAUUGUUCGAAAAAGAAAAGGCUCAAGUCUUAAAGUGACUUUUGAUUGAAUUGAGGCAAGUGAUUUCUAAACCUUGUAAAACUAGUAGAAUCGUGUAUUUCCCUUCACUGUGGUGUUGCGGAGUAAUGGAAAUAAGGUGAUGGGUUCAAUUAUUUCACUUGAUUGAUAUUGUAACACCCCAGAAAAUUUUUGAGCUUAGACUUGAACCAUCCUUUGUUGUGAGUAGGAUUUUACCGAAGAAUUAAAAUUUCUUAAAUUGUUAAGUUCACUAGAUGUAGCACCUUGAGUUCGAAAAAGAACUAAAUUGGAAAUAGCAAAAUCUGAAAGUUUGCAAGUUAUGCUUAAGUAUGAGUUUUGGGUCAACUUCAAACAACCAUAACUUUUAGUACAGAAGGAUUUAGGAGACCCUUAAGAUAUUAAAUUAAAUCCCUUCGAGUUAUCUUUCCAACGCCACCGAGUUUGCUCAAUUCCGAGCUCUAAUUAAGAAGUUAUGACUGAUUUACUAACAUCGCGCAAACCUGGCAGUAGCUCCGCGACGCGGAGCCAAUACGGACCUCACUGCCUGGUGGAAAAUAAUUCCGACUCCCAGCUAGUUUUAAUUAUUUCUUUAGGGGUAUUUUAGUCCUAAAAACCCUUAGAAGGUCAUCUAAAUUGCCCUAAAACGAGUAGAAAAUCAGUUUUCUUAAAUCUAAAACUCUCUCAUUCACUCCAAAGAUUCUACGCUCAAGAAAUUCAAGAAACGCUAAGGCUAGGGUUCAUCUUUCAAAGGUUUUCCUUCAAGUUGCUUCAAGAGGAUAAUUCUUUCAGGUAUGUAAGCUUCCAUAGUGUUGGGUUUGUUCACCCACACGCCAAUCAUGUUAAUUUCAGCUUUAAAUUCGUUCUAAAAGAUGAAGCUUUGAUAUUCUUGUUAUGUAUUCAUGAAUUUGUUUCCAUUCUUGAAUUGGGUUGAGAUUGAGGAGUUCUUGAGGUUAAUGUGUCGAUUUAUAGAGUGGUUAGAGUUAGAUUCUAGUGUACAUGUGUUGGGGUAAUCUAAAAUCUAAAGAGAGAUUGCGAAAAAUAUUCGAAUUUAGGCGAAUUGGGGCUGUAAAACGGAGAAGGAAAAGUCGAGCGUGAUCUGGCACGCAAGUCCGCGUUGCGAACUUGCUCCCCCAGUGACCAAAAAGUUUCUCCGUGUCGCGGGUAAGACGCGGACUCCUCUGUCUCAAAAUUUAAUUUCACUAGUAUUAUUUGAAACCAUCUCCGCGUCGCGGACUUGUUCCAAGACGGUGAUUUCGUGACUUUUCUCAUGUUUAGCUAUCAACAAUCAUUCCUAAACAUCAUGAGACCUUUACUAUCACAAGUCUCAACCUUGAAUCCAUAAUUCAAAUUCAAGGUAGAGUUAAGAGUUANNNNNNNNNNNNNNNNNNNNNNNNNNNNNNNNNNNNNNNNNNNNNNNNNNNNNNNNNNNNNNNNNNNNNNNNNNNNNNNNNNNNNNNNNNNNNNNNNNNNNNNNNNNNNNNNNNNNNNNNNNNNNNNNNNNNNNNNNNNNNNNNNNNNNNNNNNNNNNNNNNNNNNNNNNNNNNNNNNNNNNNNNNNNNNNNNNNNNNNNNNNNNNNNNNNNNNNNNNNNNNNNNNNNNNNNNNNNNNNNNNNNNNNNNNNNNNNNNNNNNNNNNNNNNNNNNNNNNNNNNNNNNNNNNNNNNNNNNNNNNNNNNNNNNNNNNNNNNNNNNNNNNNNNNNNNNNNNNNNNNNNNNNNNNNNNNNNNNNNNNNNNNNNNNNNNNNNNNNNNNNNNNNNNNNNNNNNNNNNNNNNNNNNNNNNNNNNNNNNNNNNNNNNNNNNNNNNNNNNNNNNNNNNNNNNNNNNNNNNNNNNNNNNNNNNNNNNNNNNNNNNNNNNNNNNNNNNNNNNNNNNNNNNAUUCCUAAUCAUGGGACUAUUACAUGUUACCCAUGAAGUCCUUGAGUUGGGUUAUACAUGUCCAUAGUUCUGCAUGAACCCUAUAAGUCGAACAGUCUUGAGAAGAGUAGUAACAUUGAAGUUCUUGAGUUCCAAGUAUUGAGUUCUAUAUAUGGUUAUUUAAAACCUUNNNNNNNNNNNNNNNNNNNNNNNNNNNNNNNNNNNNNNNNNNNNNNNNNNNNNNNNNNNNNNNNNNNNNNNNNNNNNNNNNNNNNNNNNNNNNNNNNNNNNNNNNNNNNNNNNNNNNNNNNNNNNNNNNNNNNNNNNNNNNNNNNNNNNNNNNNNNNNNNNNNNNNNNNNNNNNNNNNNNNNNNNNNNNNNNNNNNNNNNNNNNNNNNNNNNNNNNNNNNNNNNNNNNNNNNNNNNNNNNNNNNNNNNNNNNNNNNNNNNNNNNNNNNNNNNNNNNNNNNNNNNNNNNNNNNNNNNNNNNNNNNNNNNNNNNNNNNNNNNNNNNNNNNNNNNNNNNNNNNNNNNNNNNNNNNNNNNNNNNNNNNNNNNNNNNNNNNNNNNNNNNNNNNNNNNNNNNNNNNNNNNNNNNNNNNNNNNNNNNNNNNNNNNNNNNNNNNNNNNNNNNNNNNNNNNNNNNNNNNNNNNNNNNNNNNNNNNNNNNNNNNNNNNNNNNNNNNNNNNNNNNNNNNNNNNNNNNNNNNNNNNNNNNNNNNNNNNNNNNNNNNNNNNNNNNNNNNNNNNNNNNNNNNNNNNNNNNNNNNNNNNNNNNNNNNNNNNNNNNNAUUGCAUCUCUUAUUGUUGCUUUAUAUUGAGUUAAGUAUCCAGAGUUGAGUAUCUUGAGUUGAGUUUCUCUGAGUUGAGUAUCUUAUCCUUGAAUACUUCUGAGUUGAGUAAGUUUGAGUAGUUUUGAGUAUUCCUUGAGUUGAGAAAGUUUUGAGAAGAGGUAAGUAUGUUUCCUUUUUAUCAAGUUUCAAGCUUAUGUUUAUGUUUUAGAAUUCCCCUUACAUGCUUGUACAUUCCACGUACUGAGCCAUUUGGCCUGCAUCUUCUCAUGAUGCAGACACAGGUAUUCAGGAUCAUCAACAGGAGCUUCGUUGAUACAUCCGAGAGUUCGAGUUAGCUAUGGUGAACCUACUUGUUUAUGGAGGAUUUCAUUUACUUUUCAGUUUAGUCAGGAUGUCGUGGGUCUUGUCCCAACUUCCAUCUUUAUCAGUUAGAGGCUUCAUAGAUAGUCAGUAUAGUUGAGAAGUCUGUAUUAUUCAUUUAUUUUAUUAAAUGUUUUAAAGACUUAAGUUGCCUAUUUUGUGGCGAGUUGAAUAUAUUAUUUUAUUCAGAGUUUUUCAUUUGAGUUAAACCUUUGUAUUUCAGUUUCAUGAAUUUUAUUCAGUUUUUAAGCUUUGUAUGCUUGAGUUAGUCUUCCGCUUGUAGUCAGCCAGGAUGAGGGUUCGCUUGGGGACCAGCAAUGGUCUUCGAGUGCCGACCACGUCCAGGGUGUAGGGUCGGGUCGUGACAGAUAUUAAUGACUAAAAUAAGGGGAUUAAUGAAAAAGGCAACGUGUUGAUAGUUGUGAUUUGUGAAUUGCCUUGUUGUGGUCCCUAAUUUGUUGAUUGAUGAAAUGUUUUGAUGGCAUUAUUGUGGACUUGAAUUGAUUGAGUUAAUGUCUCUUUCUUAUGGUGUGGAAUUGCUUAUUUGCAUUGAUUUCUUUGUACCGUGAUGAGACAUGUGAUGAUUAUGUUGAGGGAAAUGGUUCAUGUAAGUGUUUUGAUAUAAAGCCGAAGAUAAAUGGUUCCGACUAGUAAUAUUGUGCUGAAGGGAAAUGAUUUUGGCAAGUGAUAUGAUAUAAAGCCGAAGGAAAAUGGUUUCGGCUAGUGAUAUUGUGCCGAAGGGAAAUUACUCCGAUAAGUGAUACUAUAAAAAGUCAAUAGGAAAUGAUUCCGGCUAGUGAUAUUGUGGCGAUGAAAAAUGGUUCUGGCAAGUGUUUGAUUAUUGUGAUUUGAUGAGCUUGAUACUUGUGAUUGGUCUACUUGAUACUUGUGAUUGAUGUACUUGACAUUUGUGAUUGACAUACUUGAUACUUAGUAGUUGUUAAUUGUGACUGUUGGACUAUGAUUGUUAAGCCUUGUGAGCUGUGUAUUGUAAGCUAUUAGGUUGAGCUGAUUUCUAUGCAGGUUGUAGUUUGAGGAGGUUUGGUUGGGAUGAAAGGAGUACUUGUAUUAUAUUCUAGCCUAAUUUUGCUUUCUUUAGUAGGUUGUUUGUUGAGUACCGUGUUGUUUGGUACUCACUCCUUGCUUCUACACUUGUGUAGGUUUCGUGUGAUUGCUUUUCUUCUAUUUUCAAGGCUUUCGAAGGACUUUGAGAGGUAGUUGCUUGUCAUCCCGGGCAGCCCUCUUAUUCCUUAUUUUAUGCAUUGUUCUAUAUUCCAGAGACAAAGGUAUUGAGCGUUGUACUUAUCUUUCAAUUAUGUAUUUAUAUUAGUGGCAUGUGCAUGUGACAACCAGAUUUUGAAAUUAAAUUAGAAUGACUAAAUUUUCCACUCUUCUGUUAUUCUUCUUUUAUUUUCCACAUCUCUUUCGUGUUGUUGGGUUGAGAUUGACUUGUCUUGAUGGAAAUAAACGAGUGCCAUCACUUGCAUUUUUGGGUCGUAACAUGCAAAUGGACCAUCUAAUAUGUAUUUCCUCAAAGCUGUCCACUUGAAUUUUUCAGAAAAAAAUAAAUAAGAAUAGUCCUAAAAUAUCUUCUUGAUUACAUAUGAGCCUUUAAUUUCAAUUGAUGGGGUAUAUAUUUAUGACAUUACUAUAUAAGAAGAGUGAAUAAAAUUCACUCUUCUUUCGACACGUGGCACCAUGGCCCACCUACUUUUAUUUUAUUUAAAUCAUAUAUCAUAUAUAUUACUAUAUAUAAUAAUAUAUUAUUACUAUAUAAGAAGAGCGAAUAAAAUUCACUCUUCUUUCGACACGUGGCACCAUGGCCCACCUACUUUUAUUUUAUUUAAAUCAUAUAUCAUAUAUAUUACUAUAUAUAAUAAUAUAUUAUUACUAUAUAAGAAGAGCGAAUAAAAUUCACUCUUCUUUCGACACGUGGCACCAUGGCCCACCUACUUUUAUUUUAUUUAAAUCAUAUAUCAUAUAUAUUACUAUAUAUAAUAAUAUAUUAUUACUAUAUAAGAAGAGCGAAUAAAAUUCACUCUUCUUUCGACACGUGGCACCAUGGCCCACCUACUUUUAUUUUAUUUAAAUCAUAUAUCAUAUAUAUUACUAUAUAUAAUAAUAUAUUAUUACUAUAUAAGAAGAGCGAAUAAAAUUCACUCUUCUUUCGACACGUGGCACCAUGGCCCACCUACUUUUAUUUUAUUUAAAUCAUAUAUCAUAUAUAUUACUAUAUAUAAUAAUAUAUUAUUACUAUAUAAGAAGAGCGAAUAAAAUUCACUCUUCUUUCGACACGUGGCACCAUGGCCCACCUACUUUUAUUUUAUUUAAAUCAUAUAUCAUAUAUAUUACUAUAUAUAAUAAUAUAUUAUUACUAUAUAAGAAGAGCGAAUAAAAUUCACUCUUCUUUCGACACGUGGCACCAUGGCCCACCUACUUUUAUUUUAUUUAAAUCAUAUAUCAUAUAUAUUACUAUAUAUAAUAAUAUAUUAUUACUAUAUAAGAAGAGCGAAUAAAAUUCACUCUUCUUUCGACACGUGGCACCAUGGCCCACCUACUUUUAUUUUAUUUAAAUCAUAUAUCAUAUAUAUUACUAUAUAUAAUAAUAUAUUAUUACUAUAUAAGAAGAGCGAAUAAAAUUCACUCUUCUUUCGACACGUGGCACCAUGGCCCACCUACUUUUAUUUUAUUUAAAUCAUAUAUCAUAUAUAUUACUAUAUAUAAUAAUAUAUUAUUACUAUAUAAGAAGAGCGAAUAAAAUUCACUCUUCUUUCGACACGUGGCACCAUGGCCCACCUACUUUUAUUUUAUUUAAAUCAUAUAUCAUAUAUAUUACUAUAUAUAAUAAUAUAUUAUUACUAUAUAAGAAGAGCGAAUAAAAUUCACUCUUCUUUCGACACGUGGCACCAUGGCCCACCUACUUUUAUUUUAUUUAAAUCAUAUAUCAUAUAUAUUACUAUAUAUAAUAAUAUAUUAUUACUAUAUAAGAAGAGCGAAUAAAAUUCACUCUUCUUUCGACACGUGGCACCAUGGCCCACCUACUUUUAUUUUAUUUAAAUCAUAUAUCAUAUAUAUUACUAUAUAUAAUAAUAUAUUAUUACUAUAUAAGAAGAGCGAAUAAAAUUCACUCUUCUUUCGACACGUGGCACCAUGGCCCACCUACUUUUAUUUUAUUUAAAUCAUAUAUCAUAUAUAUUACUAUAUAUAAUAAUAUAUUAUUACUAUAUAAGAAGAGCGAAUAAAAUUCACUCUUCUUUCGACACGUGGCACCAUGGCCCACCUACUUUUAUUUUAUUUAAAUCAUAUAUCAUAUAUAUUACUAUAUAUAAUAAUAUAUUAUUACUAUAUAAGAAGAGCGAAUAAAAUUCACUCUUCUUUCGACACGUGGCACCAUGGCCCACCUACUUUUAUUUUAUUUAAAUCAUAUAUCAUAUAUAUUACUAUAUAUAAUAAUAUAUUAUUACUAUAUAAGAAGAGCGAAUAAAAUUCACUCUUCUUUCGACACGUGGCACCAUGGCCCACCUACUUUUAUUUUAUUUAAAUCAUAUAUCAUAUAUAUUACUAUAUAUAAUAAUAUAUUAUUACUAUAUAAGAAGAGCGAAUAAAAUUCACUCUUCUUUCGACACGUGGCACCAUGGCCCACCUACUUUUAUUUUAUUUAAAUCAUAUAUCAUAUAUAUUACUAUAUAUAAUAAUAUAUUAUUACUAUAUAAGAAGAGCGAAUAAAAUUCACUCUUCUUUCGACACGUGGCACCAUGGCCCACCUACUUUUAUUUUAUUUAAAUCAUAUAUCAUAUAUAUUACUAUAUAUAAUAAUAUAUUAUUACUAUAUAAGAAGAGCGAAUAAAAUUCACUCUUCUUUCGACACGUGGCACCAUGGCCCACCUACUUUUAUUUUAUUUAAAUCAUAUAUCAUAUAUAUUACUAUAUAUAAUAAUAUAUUAUUACUAUAUAAGAAGAGCGAAUAAAAUUCACUCUUCUUUCGACACGUGGCACCAUGGCCCACCUACUUUUAUUUUAUUUAAAUCAUAUAUCAUAUAUAUUACUAUAUAUAAUAAUAUAUUAUUACUAUAUAAGAAGAGCGAAUAAAAUUCACUCUUCUUUCGACACGUGGCACCAUGGCCCACCUACUUUUAUUUUAUUUAAAUCAUAUAUCAUAUAUAUUACUAUAUAUAAUAAUAUAUUAUUACUAUAUAAGAAGAGCGAAUAAAAUUCACUCUUCUUUCGACACGUGGCACCAUGGCCCACCUACUUUUAUUUUAUUUAAAUCAUAUAUCAUAUAUAUUACUAUAUAUAAUAAUAUAUUAUUACUAUAUAAGAAGAGCGAAUAAAAUUCACUCUUCUUUCGACACGUGGCACCAUGGCCCACCUAUCCUAAUUUAAUAAGUGCUCAAAUAAUAUGAAAAAUAAAAAUUUAGUAAGAUUCUCAUCUAAUAUGGGACGGAGAGAAUAACAAUAUAACUUUAUUAAUGUUGGGCUCGGGCAGCGCCCGGGCUUUCGUUACUAGUCUAUAGAGAGACAUGAGCCACGUUAAUUUUGUUGCUUGGCACCUAUUCCUGUGAAAGACUUUUAGUUUUUUUCUUUGUGGGGUUUUAUUUGUGGAACUAAUAUGUCAAUAAAAGUGCAUAUCUCCCUAUAUAUAUAUAUAUAUAUAUAUAUAUAAAGAUGUUACAUAAAUGAAGGAUAAAAAAAUGACAAAGGUAAAAUAGACUUGGCAUAUGAUAGGGGUGCGGGGGGGGGGGGGGGGGGGUUAUUUCNNNNNNNNNNGGGGGAGGUGAUUAUUUCUCAAAGUUGAAGUGGUGUUUGAUUUUUUAUGAACAAAUUUUUAUGCAAAAAAAUGCAAUACACUAAUUUUAAAAAAAAGUAAGGUAUAAUGCAUAAUUUAUAUAUGCAGUAAUAUCAUUAGCUUAUGCAUUAUUUAAUAAGUUUGUGUUGUUUAGUACAUUGGGUUCGCUAAUAAUAUAAGUAAUAAAUUAAACAUAAUUGAAGUGCUUGUAUAAGAAUUAUAAGAUCCAAUACGACAUGGAGACAAUUCAUUUCCUUUUGAAUGAAUUGUAUUUUUUUCUCUUUUGGAUGAAUAUUUUAAAAAAAUAAUCAAAUAAUAUAAAUAAAUAGAUCUAUAAGAGAGAUAUUUAAAAUAUAAAUUAAUUAUUACAUUGUAAACAAAUAAAUUGUGAGAAAAAUCAAAGUGUACAUUUGUCUCGUUAUGAUGGCGAUAUCCUUUCUCUUUUUUUCCCCUAAUCAUGUAGAUGGACCGUAUAAUAUGUAUCUCUGUUCACUUGAAUUUUUUGAAAAAAAAUAAAUAAGAAAAAAAACAUAUUUAUCAAAUGCAUAGAUGUUUAUCGAUAAGAAGAAACAAAAAAGACUAAACAAUAAAAAUUAUACACUCGAUAUAAAUACACAAUUUAAAAAAAAAAAAGAUUAUAGGGAAAGAAGAAGAAGAAGGAAGAAAGAAAGAGCAAAUAUACGAUACAAACACAUUCAAUAAAAUAUCUUCUUAAUUAAAUACAAGCCUUUAAUUUCAGUUGUUGGAUAAUGUAUAUUUAAGACUUGUUUGUUUUUCUUAUUGAGGCUGGAGAGCUACGCAAUUAAUAUGUCAAGUAAACAUACAUCUAGAGGCCUGUGGCUUACGCAAAAAAAAUUGUAAAGAGUGUCACGUUUUAAAAUAAAUAAUAAUAAUAUAUAUAAAUAUAUUGAACUAAAUAUUUUACUUAAAAAUAUACAAAGUGUAGUUGAUGGGAUUCAAACUCGCAAAGUUUAAGAAGCGCCGAACCACUUGACUAUGCCCCUAUUUGUGAUAAGUAGUGUCACUCUAUUACAUUUAACCAAUUUUCUGAUUUUGUUUUUACAAUUCGAUAAAAGUAUUUAAUAAAAAAUUUCAAUCAAGCAGUGUCCCGUGACACCCCUUAACAUAAGGUAAAUCUGCCCCUGCUAGAGGUGAAUCUAACACACCGAUCAAUAAUUUUCGAAGAACUCACUCAAUAUAGAAAUGAACAACAAACACAUGAUAUUUUCAUUCCAAGCAUAAUGCAUAAACAUGACUCUUAACUUGGCGUCAAUUGGCAACUAUGACCUUUAACUUUGGCUGUGCACAAGUAGGCACUUAAAAAUUGAGCAAAUGGACACAUUCGUCCAACAUGGCAUCCUACGGCAAUUUUGUAUCCUACGUGUAUUGUGCUAUGUAGGACACUUGUGUUUACUUGUUCAAUUUUAUAUAAGUUUAAGUGUCUACCUAUACACAUUCAAAGUUAGAGGGCAUAGUUAUUCACUGAAGCCAAGUUAAGGGUCAUGUUUAUGUAUUAUGCCUUCAUUCUAUCCAUAUAGCUCAUAGCACCCUUUUGUUGGUUAGAUUAGGCCCCAACCUGACUCAACUUUGAAUAGAAUGGUCCUAAAAUAUAUUUUUGAUAUGUGAGCCUUUAAUUUCAAUUGAUGGGGUAUAUAUUUAUGACAUAUGCAGAGAGAUAUGAACAACGUUAAUUUUGUUGCUUGACACCUAGUCCUAUGAAUAAUUUUAUCUUUUUUUGUGGAUUUUUUUUUAUAGCCGGGAAAUUAAUAUGUUAAUCAAAGUAUAUAUCUCCACAUGUAGGGGUGUUUAUAAUUGGGUGAAAAUCAUCUUAUAUGCUUCAAUUUUGAGAAAUAAUCAUUUUUUCCCCUUCAUAUUGGCUUUUUUAAAAUAUCUAAGCCGCUGAAGCAAGUAAUAAAAAAUAAUGUGAUAACCUUAUAAACAUAUUUUGAAGCAAGUAAUAAAAAAUAAUUAACAAAAAUCAAGAUAUUUCAAAAUAAUUUCUUAAAAGAUUAUCUAUUAAUAUUAUAAAUAAUUUUAAAUUAUAAUUAAGAAAUAUUUCAUUAAUGACAAUAAAAAUAGUUUUAUCUAUAUGGGUAAUAGAGAAUAAGAUAUAUACAUGAAUACAUAGACGUGCCUUUUUAACUUGGCUUUAACUGUCAUCUAUACUCUUUAACUUUGGGUGUGUACUAGUAUAUAUUUAAAUUUUUAUAAAGUUGAACAUGUAUACGCACGCGUUCUACAUGACAAUUUGCCUGAGAUACACUUGAAUUGAUUGUAUUAUGUCAUAUAGAAAAUAAAUAUAAAUAUACUGAACUAAAUAUUUUACUUAAAAAUAUACAAAGUGUAGUUGCUGGGAUUCAAACUCACAAAGUCUAACAAGCGCUGAACCACUUGAACUAUGCCCCUAUUUGUGAUAAGUAGUGUCAGUCUAUUAUAUUUAACUAAUUUUCUGAUUUUGUUUUUCAAUUCGGUAAAAGUAUUUAAUAAAAAUUUCCGAUCAAGCAGUGUCCUGUGACACCCCUUAGCAUAAGGUAAAUUUGUCCCUGCUAGAGAUGAAUCUAACACACCGAUCGAUAAUUUUUGAAGAACUCACUCAAUAUAGAAAUGAACAAUAAACACGUGAUAUUUUCAUUCCAUCCGUAUAGCUCAUAGAACCCCUUUGUUGGUUGGAUUAGGUCCCAACCUGACUCAACUUGGAAUAGAAUGUUCCUAAAAUAUCUUUUUGAUUUCAUAUGAACCUUUAAUUUCAAUUGAUUUUGAAUAGAAUGGUCCUAAACAACACUAAUUAUGUUGCUUGGAGCCUAGACCUAUGUAGAUUUUUUGUUUUUUUCUUUGUGUGGAUUUUUUGAUAGCUGGGAAAAUAAUAUGUCAAUAGAAUAAUUAUAUCUCCACAUGUAAGGGUGUUUAUAAUUUGCUGAAAAUAAUCUACAUUUCCGAAUUUUAUUUUAAAUCAUCGCCCCCCCCCCCUCCCUUAAUUUUGAGAAUUAAUCUUCUUUUUUUUUCAAAUUGACUUUUUAAAUGUUUUUUCUACCCUUACAUUAUCAACCUUUAUUUUUUAUAUACUUCUUUUAAAAUCAUAAUAUAUUUAUUUUGUAAUCUAUAUAAAAAAUUAUUAAAAAAAUAUUGAUAAGCAUAUAACUUAAUGUCGUUCUAAAAUAAAAUAAAUGAAAAAAAAAUAAAAGAGUGAUGUUAUUAACUUUAAUAAAAUCUAUAAUGUGAUAACCUUAUAAACAUAUUUUGAUGCAAGUAAUAAAAAAUAAUUAAUAAAAAUAAAGAUAUUUCAUAAUAAUUUUUUAAAAUUUACCUAUUUAUAUUGUAAAUAAAUUUCAAAUUAUAAUUUAAGAAAUAUUUCAUAAAUGACAAUAAGAACUCGUUUAUCUACAUAAGUAAUAGAGAAUAAGAUAUAAACAUAAUUAUAUAAAUGUGUCCUUUUAACUUGGCAUCAAUUGUCAUCUACACCCUUCAACUUUGUGUGCACACAAGUAUAUAUUUAAUUUUUUAUAAAGUUGAACAAGUAGACACAUGUGUUCUACAUGACAAUUCGUGUAAGAUACACUUGAACUGAUUGUAUUAUGUCAUGUAGAAAAUAUAUUAUGCUACGUGUAGAACGCCUGGGUCUAUUUGUUCAACUUUAUACAAUUUUAAAUGCCUACUUGUACUCAUUCAUAAGUUGGAGGACAUAAAUAUCAAUUUAUGCCAAGUUAAAGACCACGUGUUAAGGCACCGGGUUGAUAAUGAACCAAGAAGUAAUAAAAGAUACUAAACUGUGACAUAAGAACAACAGGAGUUUUACGUGGAAACCUCCUUGAUCAAGGGAGAAAAAUCACGACCUGCCACACAUGAUUUUCAACAGCUUUCACUAUUUUCAAGCAACAAGUGAAUACAGACUCCAAAUACACAUAAGGAGAUUAAACUCUUAAUCUCACCACCCGUAAUAAUCCUAUUACAAAGAGAGCCAAAGCAAUAUUUUCAUUGCCCACAAUAUUAACUAACUCUAAUUAAUAUAGACUUCAAUCACACACCACACAGUUAACUUUAACUAUGCUCAUUGUUGUUUCUUUAUAGAUUAGAAACGGAUCUUACAAGUUCACUACAUCACAAGCAUUUUCUAAUAACACUUGGAAGACACACUCGAUAUGUAACAUCUCGCUAAAUUGAAAGAACUAGAAAGAGUUAGAAGUGGAAAUAGUCAUUUUAGGAAAGAAUAAAAAGUCUGGAAAUUUGUUAAGUUUGGAUUUUUGGUCAACUUCAAACGACCAUAACUCCUAUCUCAGGAUGAGUUAGGUGUGUUUCCAGAUACCGUAGGAAAUAUCGUUGAAUUAACUUUUCAACGCCUCCAAUUUUGCGCGAUUCCAAGUUCGUAUGAGUGAGAUAUGCCCUUUGGAAGUUGGGUUGUUUAGAUAAGGAAAGUCUAAUCCGAAUUUUGGAAGGGUAUUUUAGUCUUUUCCUUGCCCAAUUGUUUUAUUUCAUUUUUGCUAAUUAAGUUAGGGUCUAAUCAUAAUUAGUCCAGUUUAGAAAAGUUGAAGUUCACUCUAGGGCUUGGAGAAAAAAGAAAAGAGGAGAAAGGAGAAGAAAAGUUCAAAGUUUGUCAAUUUCUUGGAGAUUUUCGUGUGGAUUUCGCCAAGGAUUUAAUCCUACAAGGUAUGGGAGGCUUUCAUAACAUUGGGUUCGUUCACCCACGUGCCAAACAUAUUUAUUUCAGUGUGAAUUCAUCCUAAAAGAGUUUGAAAGUUGAUGUCCUUGAUAUGUAUUCUUGAAUUUGAUGUCGUUCUUGAAUUGGGCUGAGAUUGAGAAGUUUCUGAGAUCAUUACGUCAAAUUAUUGAGUUGGUUGGAGUUAGGUUCUUAGGUACAUUUGUUGGGUAUCUGUAUCUAAAAAUAAUUUGGGAAAAAGAAACGAGUUUGGGCGAAUUGGGGCUAGAAAAUGAAGAAGGAAAUUAGUAGGGAAAAUCUGGGCAUUAGCUCCACGUCACGGACCUGCUCCCCAGAUUGGGGAAAAAUUAUUUCGCGUCGCUGAGCGGUCACGGACUGUUCUGCCUCAAAAAGUAUUUUCGCGACCAAAAUUUAAAUACAUCUCCUCGUCGCGGACCUGCCCUCAGACAGUGAUUUUUUUUUAUCUUUUCUCAUGUUUAGCUAUCUAAAAACACUCCUAAACAUCAUGAGAUCUUUCCUAUCACAAAUCACAAUCCUUGAAUCCAUAAUUCAAUUCAAGGAAAAUUAAGAGUCAAGUUUAGAAGUUAAGAAACAAGUCAAGAGAAGUUCAUUAAAAGUGUUUCAAAAGUCUUUCACAAACGUUUUAACUUUGUUCUAAGACUUAUGUUUUAAGUUAAGCAAAGAGUAAAGAGUUGAGUUCAUUUCUCCAAAAGUUAUAAGGGAACUAAGUAUUCCCAAGAGUUUAAAAUGUUUUCACAUUGAACAAGAAAGGGAACAUCGAUUCCAAAAGAGCUUUUAAGCUAAGUUUUGAGUAAUUAUCUCAAACCAAAGAAAGAAGUUUGUUUUAAAAAAUAUAUGAGCUAAGUAUAUUUUGGGAGUAGUAUUGAGCACCGAUAUGGGGAUGCGAGUUCAUAUUAACUCAAGUCUCCAUAAACCAUGUAGCCAUCAUGGGUAGUAAAGGAUCAUACUUUUUAGAUGACUCCUUAAGAUGCUUUUAGCAUAAGACUAGUGAAUCCACUUAGUUAAGGUGUUAUAUAUGACUGCAAAGUAUAGGACAGUUCUGGCAGCGUGGACAAGACGUUGUAUCAUCACUUAGGCUCAUAGUGGUGGUUUUUCGGUUAGAGAAUCUCCCACAGAAACUAUUACUUUAUUAUAUGAGUAAAGUUGAGUUUGUUAUUGCAUUUUCUUUAACGAACUAAGUUGUUUUCCACUUUUUUACUAAGCUUUCUAUAUAUUGCAUAUGUUUAUUGCUUUAUAUUGAGUUAAGUUAUUCAGGAGUUGAGUAAAGUCAAGGUAAGUGUUUCUUUUAGAUUUCUUUUCAAGCCUAAUGUUGUGUUUUAAGCAUUUCCAAACUUCGCAUACUUGUACAUUCAAUGUACUGAUGCCAGUUGACCUGCAUCCUCUUAUGAUGCAGAUGCAGGUAACCAUGAUCAUCACCCAGCGCCUCAUUGAUCCAGUUGAGCACUCAGAGUCAGUUGGUGAGCCUCCUUGCAUUCCGAAGGACUCCUUUUACUUUGCUUUCAGUAUUUCAUUGUUAGGAUGAUCGGGGGUCUUGUCCCGACAUCCCUCUUUGUUUUAGAGGCUUCAUAGACAGUCAUACAGUUAGUAGUUUAGUUGUCUUUACAUUGUUAUUUCUUAUGUUAAGACUUGAGUUGCCACUUUGGCCAAGUUGAAUGUUGACUUUUAAACAUUCUAAGCUAUUUUAUUUAACAAUUGAGUAAGUACAUUUGAUCAUUGUAAUAAUGCUUAGAGUCUUCCGCUGAGUAAGUAAGUCAGGUCAAGGGUUCGAUUGGAGCCACUAAUGGUUCUUGAGUGCCAGCCACCUCCAGGGUGUAGGCUCGGGGGGUGACACGAUAACUCUAUCAGGUCCCUUAUGGUUGUUGAAAGCUUAAGUUCUUCAAAGACAAAGUUCACCCUUUUGAUGAAUCGAAUUGUUUUAUAUUUUCUCACUAGGUUAUAUCAAUCAACCGAGGAUGUAUUAUCCUCUGAACAAACAAUCUAGUGCUUUCUCAUUGGUGGAGUACACUGCUCUUGUUUCAUGUGCUCACCAACUGCGUUAGGUGUGACAACUUUACAACUGUUCACCAUUAUUUAGGCCAGAGGAAUGCCACUCAAAUUUGGACCAAGUCCCAAUGUUUGUGAAUAUUAUCAAAACACUGAAAUACAACAUAAAUGAACAAGAAAAAAAAAUGCAAUUUUCAUUCCAUCUGUAUAGGCCAUACCACUCUUUUGUUGGUGAGAGUAGGUCUCAACCAGGGGCGGCUGUAAAGGGUUAAAAAAAAGUCUUUUGCCUUAGGCCCCCAAUUUUAGGGGGCCUCAUUUUUUAGUUAAUUAGGUAGGAUUAAAUUAAAAAAAUAAUAUUAGAACUAAGACAAUAAAUGCAAAGGCCCCAUUUUUAGAUAAUUAGGAAGGAUUAAAUUAAAUUUUUUUUUGCUAGAACCAAGACAAUAAAUUCAAGUGGAAAAGGUCUUUUUGAAGUUAUUUUAGAUGAAAUAAAAUGUAUUGGACUUGAUAUUGAUAAUUUAAGAGGACAAGGAUAUGAUAAUGGGUCUAAUAUGAAGGGAAAACACCAAGGAGUGCAAAAAAGACUUCUUGAUAUAAAUCCUAGAUCAUUUUAUACACCAUGUGGUUGUCAUAAUCUAAAUUUGGUACUUUGUGAUAUGGUUAAUUCUUGUACGAAAGCUAUAUCAUUCUUUGGAGUGGUACAACGUAUAUAUUCACUAUUUUCUUCGUCUACUAAGCGGUGGAAAAUUUUAAAAGAUAGUGUACCUAGUUUAACUCUUAAAUCAUUGUCACAAACACGGUGAAAAAGUCGUAUUGAAAGUAGCAAUAAGGUUUCAAACUCCACAAAUAAGAGAUGCUUUAUUUAAAUUAGAAGAAGUUAGUGAUGAUCCAAAAAUUAAAAGUGAAGCUAAUUGUUUAGCAAUUUUUUAGCUUGAAAUUUUAAAUUUUUAUUGGGUAUGACUAUUUGGUAUGAUGUACUAUUUGCUGUAAAUUCAAUUAGCAAAAGUUUACAAUCAAAAGAUAUGCAUAUUGAUGUCGCUAUAGAUCAAUUAAGAGGUUUAGUUUCUUUUUUUAAAACAUAUAGAGAAGAAGGAUUUACAAGUGCUAUGAUUUCGGCUAAGGAAAUUGCAUUAGAGAUGAAUAUAGAACCUGUAUUUCGUAAGAAACGUGUAAUUUAUAGAAAAAAACAAUUUGAUGAGAAUGUUGAUAAUGAAAUCACAAGAUCUCUUGAAGAAUCAUUUAGAGUUGAUUACUUCUUAUACAUAGUAGACCAAGCCAUCUUUUCACUUCAAAAUAGAUUUGAACAAUUUGAAGUAUAUGAAAAUAUUUUUGGUUUUCUAGUUAGUGGGAAAAAAUUGAGAUCAUUAGAUGAUGAGAAUUCAAAAAAAUAUUGUCUUAAUCUUGAAUGUUCCUUAAAACAUAAUACUCACUCCGAUAUUGACGGUUUAGACUUAUUUUCUGAAUUAAGAGUGUUAAGGGAAAUCAUAAAAGUAGAAGACAAUACUCUAAUUGAGAUACUCAAUCAAAUAAAAAGACUUGAUUCUUUUCCAAAUGCGUACAUUGCUUAUAGAAUAAUGUUAAUAAUUCCUGUAACAGUCGCCUCAGCCGAAAGAAGUUUUUCAAAAUUAAAAAUAAUAAAAUAUUAUUUCAGAUCGAUAAUGUCUCAAGAAAGAUUAAGUGGUUUGGCUAUAUUAUCGAUUGAAAAAGAAUUAUUAGAAGAGAUUGACUACACAAAAAUUAUUAACAACUUUGCAUCUCAAAAAGCUAUAAAAAUAGAUUUAAAAUAAAAACAUUUAUAAUUUUUUUUUAAGGCCUCUAGUUUGAUUUUGGCCUUAGGCCACCAACGGGUUUGAGCCGCCCCUGGUCUCAACCUGACUCAACUUUUAGUAGAAUAGUCCUAAAAUAUCUUCUUUAAUUUCAAUUGAUGGGGUAUAUAUUUAUGACAUAUGCAGAGAGAUAUGAACAGCGUUAAUUUUGUUGCUUGACACCUAGUCCUAUGAAGAAUUUUAUCUUUUUUUUUGGGUUUUUUUUGGUAGCUGGGAAAUUAAUAUGUUGACAAAGUAUAUAUCUCCACAUGUAGGGGUAUUUAUAAUUGGGUGAAAAUCAUCUUAUUUAUUUUAAAUCAAACUCCUCCUACAAUUUUGAGAAAUAACCAUUUUUCCUUCAAAUUGGCUUUUAUAAAUAUCUAAGCCACUGAAGCAAGUAAUAAAAAAUAAUGUGAUAAUUACCUUAUAAACAUAUUUUGAAGCAAGUAAUAAAAAAUAAUUAACAAAAAUCAAGAUAUUUCAAAAUAAUUUCUGAAAAGAUUAUCUAUUAAUAUUAUAUAUAAUUUUAAAUUAUAAUUUAAGAAAUAUCCCAUUAAUGACGAUAAAAACAGUUUAUCUAUAUAGGUUACAGAGAAUAAGAUAUAUACAUAAUUACAUACACAUGUCUUUUUAACUUGACUUUAAUAACUGUAAUCUAUACCCUUUAACUUUGGGUGUGUACGAGUAUACAUUUAAAUUUUUAUAAAGUUGAACAUGUAGACGCACGCGUUCUACAUGACAAUUUGCAUGAGAUUCACUUGAACUGAUUGUAUUAUGUCAUAUAGAAAAAUAUAUUAUGCUACGUGUAGAACAUGUGCGUCUAUUUGUUCAACUUCACACAAGUUUAAAUGUCUAUUUAUGCUUACUCAUAAGUUAGAGGGAAUAAAUAUCAAUUUAUGCCAAAUUAAAAAGCAUAGUAAUGUAUUAUUAUGCCCAAGAAAUGAAUGAAACUUAAAUAUGCAUGCACAUAAUACAUUCAUACAUAUGUACUUAAUUUAUGCAAUAUUAAAAUAGUAAUUAUGAAAACUUACCAAUUAAAAUAUUUAUAAAAAUUAUAAAAACUUAUCCAUUCAAGAGAAAAAAGUUGGUAUUUGAUUGAAAAAAGAAGAAGAAAGAAACAUUUGUAGAGAGAGAGAGGCGAAAGGAUAUAAGUAGGAAGUUCAACAUAAUUAAAGUUCUGGUAUAAGAGUUAUAAGAUCUAAAAUGACAUGAAGACAAUUCAUCUCCUUUUGAAUGGAUUUUUUUCUCUCUCUUUUGGACGAAUUAUUUUUUAAAAAUUUUCGUGUAUAGUUAAUAAUGAAUAAUCAAAUCAAAAUCGAUAAAUAUAUAUUAUAUCUAAUUUAAUUUAAUUUUAAUAAUUUAAAGAUUAAUCAAAUUAAUUUGUUCAUGAGUUUUACCAAUAAACCAAUCCGUAAAUAUCCCUAAUAAUAAUCGAAAAAACACUUCAAAUAUGUAUUGAUCGUCUCACCCUCCAUUUCCAAUCCAAAACCAUCGCAACUAAUCUCUUAUUUUUAAGGCUUCCCACCUUUACAUCUUAACAAAUACAUAUUCCAUUUGUCCCAAUUUAUAUGACUUACUUUCAUUUUUAGUCAGUCCCAAAAAGGAUGACACGUUUAUAUAUUAAAGAACAAUUUAAGUUCAUUUUAUCCUUAAUAAAAUGAUUUAUAACCACACAAAUUUCUAUCAUUCAUAUUAGACCACAAGUUUUAAAAGUCUUCCUUUCUUUGUAAACUUUGUGCUGAGUCAAACUAACUCACAUAAAAUGAGACAGAGGAAUUACUUUAAUUCAAAUUCCAAUAAGAAUUAAUCAAUGAUGACUAAGAUCAGUGGACUAAGGCCUCCUUUAUUUCUAUUAAGAUUAAAACGUCUGAAUAAGAAUAUGAAUAUUAAGAUGUGCAUGAAGAUUUUGAUGUCUAGAUCUGAAUACACAUUUGAAUAUUAAAACGCGGCUUCUAGUUUUAUAUAAUGAAUGACUAAUAUUGUUUGUUUUCAAUAUCUGAUUGUGCAUAUGAAAUUCAACACUGUAUAAAUAAUAUAUUAUAAAAUUUUCAUUUAAAAAAAACAUUACCUUUUAAUAAGAUACCUCAAAUUUUAACAAUAGACCUCAAGUAUAUACAUAACUAUUCUUUUUAAUAAUGAUUAGUAUUUUUUUACUCAGAAACCUUGAUUCUUGAUGAAUAUCAAUACUCUAAAAAAUAUCAUGACAACAAGAGUUCUUGACAAACAUCAAUACACCCCACCCCACCCACCGCACUCUCAAUUUUAUUUUGUUAAUUUAAGAAAAUACUAAACAAAUUAAAAUACUUGUAAAGAUAUGAAAACUUAUCAAUUCAGGAGAAAAAAAAUUGGUAAUUAAUUGAGAAAAAAAGAAGAAGAAACAUUUGUAGAGAGAGAAAGGCGAAAGUGACAUGAAUAUUUUGUGAAUAUAGCAUAUUAAAUAAGUUUUGUUAAGACUGUUCUAAAUCUGAUUUGUUCAGAUUCAUUAAGACUCUUCCUAAAAAGAAAUAAACUAAAUCUGAAUGAUGAAAAAUUAGAUUUUCAUUAAAAGCAAAUAAAUAAGGCCUAAGAUCCGAUUUCCCUUUUGCUAUAAAAGUAGCUCACAUAUGAUCUAUUGUUAUACAAAUAACCUAGAUAUAUCCUUUUAGUUUAAUAGGAGUAAAAAAUGAAUUUUGAUUUUUUUGUUUAAAAAAAUAUUUUUUAAAAUUUAUUAUUCUACUCAUUUUCUUGUAAAAUUUAUUAUAUAUGUCCCAUUUUUUCACUCAUUAAUUUUUUUUCUUAAUUUUUUAAUUUUUUAUUCACACUUUUUUCUUUUUCUUUUUCAUAUUUUUACACUAAAAAAAUAUUAAAUAAAAAUAAAGAACUCAUAUAAUAAUAAAUAAAUAAAUAGAUUUAUAAGAGAUAUUAAAAACAUAAAUUAAUUAUUGAAUCAAAGAAGUAAAAAAAAAAAUCAAAGUGUGCGUUUGUCUUGUUGUUGUUGUUGUCGGCAGAUGGACAAUAUUGUCAAUUUGUAAAGCCAUAAGGCCACUAUACAGAACCCCUAAAGCAUUAUAAAUAGGAAUGGUGUCAUCAUACUUUAGUGUAGGGGUGUACAAAACCGAAUCGAAAAUCGAAUUAAAUCGUAAAUCGAGUUAAAUCGAAUAAAAUAUCCGACUAGUGGUUUGGUUUGACUUGGUUUGGUAUUGGAAAAAAAAAACCCGACUAUAUUUGGGUUGGUUUGGUUUUAAUUAAAAAAAAUCAACCCGAGACCAAACCAACCCGACAUUAUAUAUGUAAUUUUAAAAUUUUAUUUUAUACAUAAAAAUAUUUACAUUGAUAUAAUUCUAAAAUAUUUCUUAUACUAUUUCAUAGUUUUUAUCUUUUAAUAUAUUAUUUCAAGUUUAAAACUUAGAAUUCGGAAUGGUCCAAUAAAGUUAUAGUUCAUAGAUGUUGAUAAUUAUAAUAAAACUUAAAUCAAAAUAAAAUUAAUAAUAAUGCAAAAAGAAAAUCAAUUCAACACUAAGAAUGACAAUAAUAUUGAAUAUUUAUUCUUUAAUUUUACAUUGGUUUAGACAAUUAAAAUACAUAAUCUAAUUUUAAUUUUCCUUAAAUAUUUAGUAAUGUAACUAAUACUUAUUAAACUUAUUUUAGCAUGAUUUAGUACUUUUAAAUUAUGAUCAUUUUCAUUAUGACUUUGCAAUAUUUAUUUUAUAUGAUGAUUUCAUUAUUAUUUUUUAUUGAAUAUUUUAGUGUCAUCACUCAUCUCAUAUUUUGUGUUAUUUUCUUAAGAAACACCUUAGAUGAUUGUAUUUUGGUUGGAAUAAAGAAAUAUUUGGAGCACAAGUUAAUUAUAUGUUUGUAUGCAAACUUUACCAAAAAAAUCCAAAAAUCUGAAAAAAAUCUGAGGUUUAUUAGUUUGGUUUGAUUUAUAAAUUUAAAAAUUCGACAUAAUGGUUUGGUUUGGUAUUUGAAAAACCCGAACCAACCCGAGGUUGAAAAUCCCGAAAAAAUCCGAAUUUUAUUAGUUUGAUUUGGUUUAUAAAUGUAAAAUUUUUACACAAAUAAUUUGAUUUGAUAUUUGAAAACCCCAAACCAACCCGAUCAUAUACACCCCUACUUUAGUGUAUAAUUUCUAAUAUAAGUUGAAGAAAACUUUAAUUUGCAACUUCACUGUAGAGCCAACAUCAUUAUAACUUAUAAGGUAUGCCCUAUCUUUUAAUUUUUUUUAUAUUGAGAUCAUUUAAUGUAAAUAAGUGGAGUACUACUAUUUUUUUCUUCUUACAAAGUUAGUAGUAGUAAUUAGAGUAAAUUUUAGGCUUAUAAAAACAUAAAAAUCAUAUUUGUAUGUUAUAGCUAUAGUUUGCAUAAUUGCGUUCUAUAAAACCAUCUCCAACCCAACAUCAAAUCCUAUAUUUGGUGUAAAAUUUGGUGUUUUUGAGCUCCAACCCACACCAAUUUUUACACCAAAUUUGGUGUGUGAAUAGUGUUACACCAAAUUUGGUGUAACACUAUUCAUCACACCAAUUCACUUUUUGAAUAUUUUAAUAUUAUUUCAUUAUACAAAUUUUUAAUUAAACAUUAUAUAAAUUGUAUGAUUUAGUUAAAUCUCUUGUAUAUUUAAUUAUUUUUUAUGUAAUAUUUUUAUAAUAUUAAUUUUAGAUAUAAAAUUUAGCUUUUUUAUAAAUUAUUUUUUCUAUAUAUGUACUUUUAAAAAAAAUUAAAUUUUAAUGUUAAUUCUACUAUAAAUUAUAAUUGGAUAUAACUACAAUUAACCUUCACAAAAAAUUUAAAAAUGCAAAUAUAUAAAUUUUUAAACAAAUAAUACAAUGUACUUAAAAAUAACCGAAAAUAAUACGCAUUCAACAAAGUAGUAAUUGUCAUACAUCAAAAUUGAAAUAUAAAAUACAUAGUAAUUUUAAAAAGUACAACAAAACAUAAUAAUUUAAAAGACAAAGAAACUACAUUUUGAACUACGUAAUGCAUUAAUAGAGCAUUUAUGGGAGCACCGUAGUGAUCUUGAAAGUUGAAUAUUUAAUGUAGAAUUUAAAAAUAAUUUUUUCAAUUAUGUAAUGUUUAUUUAAUUGUAUUUCAUUAAUGAUUUCACUUUUAUUUGUAUUAUCUAUUAAUAUGUAUAAUGUAUAAUAUUUGCUAGCAAUUUAUAUUAUUUAAAAAAUUAUGGUACAAAAUAAUUUUAUAUUAAACGAUUAUAAAAGGAAAUAGUAUGAAUUAUAUAUGGUGAAUGUUUUAGAAAGUUUUUUUUUUAUGAAAUAAGUAAAUAUAAAUGAAAUAAGAAAUAAUAAUAUAAUAAUGAAGAGAGAAAAAUUUUCCUUUUUGGUGUAAAAUUUGGUGCAGUGGGUUGGAGUUGAUUACACCAAAAAUAGUGUUGACACCAAAUUUGGUGUAAAAUUUGGUGUUUGGGUUGGAGAUGCCCUAACAAAUUUUAUGUUUGCUAUGGAGCAUCAGAUCUAUAUAAAAAUCGCAGGCAACUUUGAUUUGUAUAAAAUUGCAGGCAUCUGAUUUGUAUAAAUCACAGCGAUUUGUAUAAAUCGGGCGUCUGUGUCUAUGGAAAUUGUGUUUGUAUAUGUAUAUGUUCUUUAUGUUUGUAUAUCUGCAUAAAAUUUGAAUUUGUAUAGAAUUGAAUCGAAAUAAAACAUUUGUAUAUCAAAUCUCUCUCUCUCGCUUUAUACAACACAAAUUAUACAUUGUAAUUUGUGUUUGUAUAAAGCGAGAAAGAGAGAAAGACAAAAGAGAACUGGUAGGGGAAGAUCUGUAUUUGUAUAAUUAUAAGUGUAUAGGACAAAAAUAUAUGUAUUUCUAUUUGUAUAUACAAUUUUAUCUCGCUUUAUAUAAACACAAAAGCAAUUUAUACAUUUGUGUUUGUAUAAAGUGAGAGAAGCGAGGGAGAGUGGCGAGCGAGAUCACGGAGAGUGUCGAGCGAGAUUUUUGGGGAGAGAGGCGAAUGGCAAGUGUUUGCUACGAAUUAGAAUUAAAUGAAACUGUGGUUAUAGCAUUUAAUUUGAAUUAAUAGUUUGCUAUUUUAUACAAUUUUCCCACCUAAUUAGUACUGAUAGUCGAUAUGUUUAAACUUACAUUUAUAGAGAAAAAUAUAUAGGGGAUAAUAAUCCCAAUUAAUUAGUAGUAGUAGAUUAUGUCAAGCAGACAAAAAUUGGAUAAUAUAAAUUUAAAUCGGAGAAGAAUGAGUCUAUCUUUGAAUUAUACGCAGCCUAGCUAGGUGAUUUUUAGAUCAUCUAAAAAAGAGUUAAUGGAACUUUUGAGUGCAUCAUGCUGAUCUUAGUGACAAAAUAAGAAAUUUUGUAUUUAAGAUUUAAUUGUUUUUUUUUAAAAUCUAUAUAUAUGUAGUAUAUUUUUUUCUAAUACAAAGUUUCUGACCUAACUCAUGUUUGUUCGAAAUUUGAUUGAUAUAUUUCCUUUACCAAACAGUUUUUGCAUCAUGAGGUUAAAAUUACACGUCGUGUUGACAGUCAUCCUCCUACUGUCCGGGGAGUAGUCACAAGGUAACUAGUCAUCAUUCACCUUAAUCUUUGGUGUAAUGUUAAAAAACUUACUUAAAUAUAUGACGCGCCUACUAAAGAAACGCGGAAUUUUUCAUAGGUGGUGGAAAGAAUUGAAAAUAGUGAAGACAUCACCUUAAGUAAGAGACAGAUUGGCAGAGGCUUACUUCUGGAGUUUAGGUGUCUACUUCCAACCUCAGUAUAGCAUUGCGAGGAAAAUAUCAACAAAAAACUUAUACAUGCUUUCUCUUAUUGAUGACACACAUUAUAUUUAAUUUAUGGGACACUAGAUGAACUUAUUCUAUUCACAGAGACAAUUGAAAGGUAAUAAUUCAUUUUGUUAUGUUGUAUAUAUAUAUAUUGAUAGCUUAUUAUAACAUUUUUAUAAUUGCUCUUUUAUAUAUAUGUAGGUGGAAUAUUGAUGCUUCCGAACAAUUACCAUCAUAUAUGAAGAUUAUUUACUGUGGUCUUCUAGAUGUUUACGAUGAAUUUGAGAAAGACUUGGCAGAUGAAAACAAAUCAUUUCUAGUCAACUAUUACAUAAUAGAGGUACUUAUAAAUAAAUUAGCAAAUAACAUAUACUUAAAUUGAUUAACAACUAUUAUUUUAUUUUUUUCUAGACGAAAAAGGUGGUGAUGGCUUACUUUCAAGAGGCAAAAUGGUAUUACGGUAAGAAUUUAUAUGACUUACUUUCAUUUUUAGUCAGUUCCAAAAAGAAUGACACAUUUCUAUUUAAAAGAACAAUUUAACUUUUAAAAGUCCAUUUUAUCCUUAAUGAAAUGAUUUAUAGCCACACAAAUUUUUAUCAUUCAUUUUAGAUCACAACUUUUAAAAGUUUUCCUUUCUUUGUAAACUCUGUACCGAGUCAAACUACCUCACAUAAAAUGGAACAAAGAGAGUACAUUAAUUCAUUCAAAUUCCAAUAAGAAUUAAUCAAUGAUGACUAAGACCAGUGGCCUAAAGCCUCCUUUAUUUACAUUAAGAUUAAAACGUCUAAAUUUGAAUAAGCAUAUGGAUAUUAAGAUGUGCAUGAAGAUCUUGAUGUCUAGAUCUGAAUACGCAUUUGAAUAUUAAAAUGUGGCCUCUAGAUUUAUAUAAUGAAUGACUAAGAUUGUUUGUUUGCAAUAUCUGAUUGUGCAUAUGAAAUUUAACACUAUAUAAAUAAAAUUUUAUAAAUUUUCAUUUUUAAAAAAUAUACCUUUUAAUAAGAUACUUCAAAUUUUAACAACAGAGCUCAAGUAUAUACAUAACUUCUUUUUAAUAAUGACUAGUAUUUUUUUCACUCAAAAACUUUGAUUCUUGAUGAAUAUCAAUACUCUAAAAAAUAUUAUGACAACAAGAGUUCUUGACAAACAUCAAUACCACCCCCCACCCCCCACCUUCUCUCAAAAAUUUUUGCUAAUUUAAGAAAAUACUAAACAAAUUAAAAUACUUGUAAAGAUAUGAAAACUUAUCAAUUUAGGAGGAAAAAAUUGGUAUUUAAUUGAGAAAAAAAAGGAAAAAUCAUUUGUAGAGAGAGAAAGGCGAAAGCGAUAUGAAUAUUUUGUGAAUAUAUCAUAAUAAAUAAAUUUUGUUAAGAAUGUUCUAAAUUUGAUUUGUUCAGAUUUAUUAAGAGUCUUCCUAAAAAACACAAACUAAAUUUGAAUGAUGAAAAAUUAGAUUUUCAUUAAAAGCAAACAAAUAAGGCCUAAAAUUGAUGAAUAAUAUGUAUACUAGAUGACUCAUGAACAACAUGUUCAUUUUAGUCAUUGCCCUUACAACAAUAUUGUCAUACCGCUAUGUUACUACUCCCUCCGUUUCGUUAUAUUUGGCUUCUAUAUUAAAUUUUUUUAAUUUAAAAAAUAUAUUAUUUUUAGUAUUAAAUAAUGGAAAAAAAGGAUAAAUAUAUCCUCGAACUUUCAAAAUGGUAUACAAAUACCCUUCGUUAUACUUUGAGGUUAUAUAUACCCUUACCAUCAUAUUUAAUUUUUGGAUCAUGUAUAUCCCUACACUAAACGGAGAGACACGUGGCGACAUCAUAAAAGUUUACCCUAUUUUAUUUUGUUUUAACUUUCACCUACAAAACUAAAAACCCACUCAACUAUCUAUUUACCUGACCCGAAUUAAAAAUCCUGACCCAAUCUAAAACAUUUGUGGAGUACAUUUCUGAAGCAAAUCCUUCAAUCCCGUCAUCAUUCUUCUCCAUUCUCAAUAAUCAAGAUCUCAUCCAUGAUGGAAAAUUCAUUUGCUAGAGAAACCUAUUACACUAUCUAUCAAAUUUAUUUUCAAAUUUACACUAAAUAAGCUGAAAAUAUAAAACCUUUACAUAUAAACAUGUCACAAAAAACUCUUUAUCAAAAUUAAAACCUCAAUACUACAACACAUAAGAAAAUUUCAACAAGAUUUAGAGCUCAAAUCAGAUGUCAUACUAAGAAACUCAUUACACAAUUGGAAGAAAAAAAAGGAAAUGGAGAAAUGACCAGAAGCCAUCGGAAAGCUCUCUGAAACACUCAUCCCCUUUCCCUUUCCUACAAAAUUUAACAAACUCUUCCGCUUCAUCUUACACAUAUUAUUGCUACUGAACUACAGAAGCCACGGUAGGAUAGAAGCCCUAAAAUAUGAGGUUUACUAAAUAGAAGUAGAGGUUUACUCACCCUAAAUGUCAUAUUUAAAUAAGAUGUAAAGCUUUAAAACCAUCAAAAGUUCCAAAUCAAAUUGUAAAAGUAGUCAAACAAGUAUAUCAUUUACGUAGAAUACUACAUACAUUGAUCUAGAAUGUCCUCUUUUACUUGUUCAUAAUAUAUAUAUAUAUAUAUAUAUAUAUAUUUGAAGCAGAUGCUUAUAAGAAGUUCACUGACGAACAAACAAAUUUCAAGAAAGAAUUGGUUAACGACGUGCAUGGAAUGUUGAGCUUAUAUGAGGCAGCACAAUUCAGAGUACACGGCGAAGUAAUUCUGAAUGAAGCACUAAAUUUCACCACCACUCAAUUGAAACUAAUUUUGCCUAAAUUGAGCAACUCCCCACUUGCACAACAAGUCGCUAACGCACUCAAGUUUCCAAUUAAAGAUAGUAUUGUGAGGGUAGAAGCAAGGAAAUACAUAUCAUUUUACCAAGAAAAUCAAAAUCACAAUCAAGUCUUACUAAACUUUGCCAAAUUAGACUUCAAUAUCUUGCAAAUGUUACAUAAAAAAGAGCUAUGUGAUAUCACAAGGUAACUAGUCAUCAUUCACCUUAAUCUUUGGUGUAAUGUUAAAAAACUUACUUAAAUAUAUGAUGUGCCUACUAAAGAAACACAUAAUUUUUCAUAGGUGGUGGAAAAAAUUGGAAAUAGUGAAGACAUUACCUUAUGUAAGAAACAGAUUGGCAGAGGUUUACUUCUGGAAUUUAGGCGUAUACUUCCAACCUCAGUAUAGCAUUGCGAGGAAAAUAUCAACAAAAAACUUAUACAUGCUUUCUCUUAUUGAUGACACAUAUGAUAUUUAUGGGACACUAGAUGAACUUACAUAAUUUUAUUUUAUUUAUACUUACAAGUCAUUUCUAGUCAACUAUUACAUAAUAGAGGUACUUAUAAAUAAAUUAGCAAAUAACAUAUACUUAAAUUGAUUAACAACUAUUAUUUUAUUUUAUUUCUAGACGAAAAAGGUGGUGAGGGAUUACUUUCAAGAGGCAAAAUGGUAUUAUGGUAAGACAGUACUAAAAAUGGAACAAUACAUGAAGAAUGGAAUUUCAACAAGUGCUUACGUACAGUCCAGAUGGCGCUACUGCAUGGUUAGGCAUGGGAAAGGUAGCAACUAAAGAUGCAUUUGAUUGGAUAGCAACUGAACCUCCAAUACAUGUUGCUUCUUCUAUCAUUACAAGAUUACUCAAUGAUCUUUUAUCACAUGAGGUAUACAUAUAUAAUUUAAUUUAUUUAUUUACACUAAUAAUUGGAGUAUUUUAUAUCAUCACUAUGUUAACUUGUUACAUUAUAUCGAAGAUUUCACUUUGACAUCUAAUAGACCAUUUAAAUUUUCUUUUAAAAUUAUUUUUCUUUUCAAUAAAGAAAAUAUAUAUCCCUAUCUUCUUCUUUCAGAAUACCCUCACUUGCUAGUUGCUACCAUUUUCUAAUUUUGUAUCCCUAUCCCUAUCUUUGUAUCUAAUUUUGUUUUUUUAUUCAUAUUAGGAAGAACAAAAACGAGGAGAUGCACCUUCUGGUGUCGAAUGUUAUAUGAAAGAAUAUGGCGUUACAAAGGAAGAAGCACACAUAAAAGUAAGAAAUAUAAUAGAAAAUUCUUGGAAGGAUUUAAAUGAAGAAUACUUCAAAGUGAAUAAGACUAUUAUACCAAGGAAUUUGCUCAUGUGCAUAAUUAAUCUAACGAGUGUAAUUGAGUUCUUCUAUAAAGAUGAAGAUGCUUAUACUUUUUCCAAAAAUAAGAUGAAAGAUGUCAUUUAUAGGAUACUUAUUGAUCCUAUUAUAUAGACUGAUGACAACCAGAAAAGGAAGAGGAGGAAUAAGAAAAGUCAAAACUGAAUGACUUUCUGAAAUAAUUAUGUAUUAGUUAAGUAAUUUUUCGAAGACAUUCGUUCUAUAAGUGCUUUCUUUUUGUACCAUUUCUUGGAAAUUAAGAAGUUACUUUUUAUAUCUUUGUCUUCCACUGAGGCUGAAUUAUACAGAUUGAUACUUCUUGUAGAAAUAUAAUACUGUCAAAUUUUAGUGGUGGUAAAUGAAAGAAUAGAGAUGUCUUACAUUAAAUUAUAGUGGUGGUAAAUAGGCUGGUUGGAUCAAAUUUGGGCGGGUUGAAAAUGGGUCAAUACAAAAGGGGUAAUAAUUCAAUCCGUUCAUAUUUGAUGUGUAAAAAUGGAUUGGGUAACAAAUGGGUUGGGUAGAAUACUAGUUUACCCAUUUUUUCAUGAGUAAAUUGUACUUACUUAAGAAUUCAACAUGGAGAAAAUAUUUUAAUCUUUUUUAGAUGAGAAAUGUUGAAAAUACUUUAUUUAGUUAUACUGUACCAUAAAAGUAAAAAAAAUAUAACUUUUCAAUAUAAGAUAAAUUUAUGUAAUAACAAAGGGAAAAUAUUUUAAUUUUAAAGUAAAUAAAUAUUUACAUUUUAGGACUAAAAUAUACUUAAUGCACUUUAAGCAAUGUCAAUACUAAUACAUAAUUUGCUUAUAUUACACUAUUAUUUAUUAUCCAAUAUAAAAUUAAACAAAUAAAUUUUCUUAUUUUCUAGUUAUACAAAUUUUUUAUCUUCCCAAAUAGAAGAAAUUGAUUCAGCGCCGAGCUAUAACAGCAAAUAAAUAGGAGGCAAAUAACUAAUUGUUGUCCCUCUGCUUCAACCAAAACCUUAUAGAGUUUUCUGACUAUCUCUCAUGAAGACAUGAGAGAUUGUUGUCCCCCUUUGUCUCGAUGACUUCUAUAUAGACUCGAGGUCCAUAUGCAAACCAGCUCGUUGGAUCAAUUCAGAAUCCAAGGGAUUCCUAUUUUCAGCAAUGUUGUCAAAGUGUAGACUAUCUUCUAGAAUAGGAGAGCCUCUCGACUCCAAAAAGGCCUUUCUAUUGUAACUCCUGGAAAAAAAAAGACUUCCUAUUGUUACUAGAUAGCAUUAUUAUCAGGAUAAAAAAUCAGUUAGUGAACCUGCUAUUUUAUGUUUAGAAUGGCAAUUAUUGGUUUAGAUGUUCAAAAUCUGGGUAUAAAACACAUCUUUUAACUGAGGGAGUGCAUCGCUUUUCAACUAUGAUUCACAUUUAGGCAUUAAUCUGGAAGGAUGUGUUGGAAUUUUCUUCAGUACCGAAUAUGAUAGGACUUUUUUAUUCAAAGAAGACCAACACAAAAGCUAUCAGAAAAGUCCCAAUAACCUAAGCUAGUGAUAUAUAGUCUCAGAAUGACUCUAUUUGUAAAUUGAAAGAAUUACAUUGUAGGUAUUGGUUGCACCAGUUGUACUGUGGUUAGCUCUUUCGCUUGAAAUUUUUCGUACUCACCUUUAUCAUCCCUGUAGGCUGUUGGAUUUUUAUUUUUAACUUUCUAUGUAGUCAUUUAUACUCCAUCCCAGCUUGAAUCCACUGUUAUACAAAUUAUAUCCUAUUCCCAAGUUAGAGCUCUCCAAGGUCAAUCAGACAUUUAGAAUAACAAACUGGCAGAAAAAAAAAGAGUGACCGAUGAAAAUAGAUAUUCAAAGAUGAGCGCAGAACUUGUCAUAUAAAACUGACAAAUUAGAAUUAUCACGUCAGACAAAGUUGCAAGUAUCAGAUAGGAAUGAAUUGAGAAAAGGUCAACUGAGAUGGUUCGAACAUGUUCGGUUCCAACUCCAACAUAAACCUCCAAAUGCACUAAAAGAGACGUGUUACUAAAUCUUAAUGACAAGAAUAAGUUGUCUCAUAGGCCUACAGUCGCUCGAGCAAUGCAGACAUAGCUAAGAAUAAAACAUGAUGAGUGUAAUUGAUUUGUAAUGAAUACGACCUUUGUGGCAGAAAAAAAAAAACAAACAGGAUGAGUAUAAAUGAUCCAUAUCGGUGAUACCAACUGGCUGGGACUAAGUGUUAAUUGUUAUUGGUACACUUGAGAUUAAGGUGUAGUUGAUUGCUAAGUUGCUCGGGUCCGGGUGUUGGAAGGAAAGAAAUUCACGGAUUCUUUAGAGAAAAUUUUGAAUCCGUAAUUAGUAUUACGUACAAAUGCAUCUCCUUACUAUUUUUGGUGCUAUAUAGAUUUCUUGAGUUAAUUGCACAUUCAAAAGUGAUGUUGACCUGUAAAUAUCUUUAAAACACCUUCUGGUUGUGGACUUCUAAUGCAAAUAUCUUUUACUUAUAAAAAAACUAUGCCUAAAUUAUGAUUUCACCCUAGCUUUUGUGUUUUGAUUUCAGAAAUUUUUGUAUCUGUCUCGAAUUUCUCAAUUGAUUUUGGUCAAAGUACUCGAAAUCGACUGACCAUAUUCGGUAUAGAUCCCACACCCACACCCAUGUUGUGUCGAUACGAGUGCGGCACCGAAAGUGAAGAGUUCGUGCAACUUAGGUUGGUUGAUAUGUUGAAGAGCACAGGUAUUAAAGUGAGAGUUCAAGUUUUCGUAAUGUUUAAAUAGGAGUGAUUCAGGAGGUUCAUAAUCUAUAUAUAUACUUCUAAAAAAAUGUCUUAUAUAUAUCGUGUAUUUUUUUGCCGAGGGGGGUCGAGUGAACCCUCUCACUAUCCUCUAGAUCCGCCCAUUCUAGUCAUGUGUACAUUAAGCAUAACAUUGGAAUUUCAUCUGCAUUUCUAGCUAUGUUGUUCGGACUCUUCAAAACUGUAAUCUAGUGUGUGUUGAAUACUCCGAAAGUAGUAUAGUGCAUUUUGGAGAAGCUGAUACGGGUGCGGCAACAAUUUCGGAGAGUUCAAGCAACAUAUUUCUAGUCCCUAUUGGAUCCUCUUCUGCUUUAUCAGCCAUUCUUUGCAUAUGUCCAUCACUUCUUGCAACCUUUUCCAAGAUGAAAAUUUGUGAGUAUCCAUCCAUUCUAUUUCUUUCUACAUUGCUUUGACAUCUGAUUGUGAGCUAUGCAAAAUCUACUCAGAUAAUUUUCAAUAGACUGAGCAUUUAGAAUCACUAAUAUCACACAUUGAAAAUUAUCAAUCAUGUGAGGAAUAACUGAAAACAAAAAACUACAUCUAUCUUUCUAAUCAUAAUUAGUAAAGUUAAGUGUUAAAAAUACACUUAAAUUAUUACUCUCUCCGUUUCAAAAAAAGUGGUUUAGUUUGGAUUGGCACAGAGUUUAAAAAAAUAAAAAAGACUUUUGAAUCUUGUGGUCCUAAAUUAAAGUUUUGUCAAAUGUACAAAAUUGUUCUUUAAUCUUGUGGCCUUAAACAUGCUGAAAUUAAAAUGUUAUCAAAAAAAAAAAUAGGUCAUUAUUUUUUAAAUAGACAAAAAAAGAGGGAGUAUAUUUUUUUGUAGUUUCAUACGUCAACUAUUGAGAGUGUGAGAAAUACACCUAACAUAUCACUUAUUAGUUUGAGAAACAUAUCUCAAUGUUGACUGACAUGAAUUUUUUUGUUCAUGUUUUUUUUUGCUUACAUGUGUUUUUAAAAGCGAAUUGUCAAAAGUACGCCUAAAUCAGUUUUUUUUCCGAGUUUCUUACCCUAAAUUAUCAUUCAUAAAUUUGAGAAACACACCUGAAGUAAUUACACUAUCUUUUAAAAAAAAAAAAGGAACUUGUCACAUGAAAAAAAAAAUACUCCCUCCAUCUAACAAUAGUUGUCCACUAUAUUAUUUUGGAAUGUCCAACAUUACUUGUUCACUUUAUGAAAUCAAUGAAUAAUUUUACUCUUAGUUCCUAUUUACCCUUAUCAUUAAUUAUAUUCAUAUCUUUAUUACAUUUUCAAGACAUUGAACUCUCUCCGUUCCUUUUUAUGUCAUCCUUACUAUAAAUAGUUGGUUCAUAACACUUGUCAUUUCAUAAAUCAAUGCAUAAAUUACAAUAUUCUUCCUAUUAUACCCUUGAUAGUUAAUUAGUUUGAAAAUAUAUAUUUGACCAACCUAGAAAAAUUAAUAAGUAAUUAAUGUUCAUUGUAAUUACUUCAUACAUUGAUUAAUUACUAAUCAGUUACUCUCACCAUUGCAUUACUCUAUAAAAUUUGAUUUUGAAAAAGAAAUAUCAACAAACAAAUUAAAAAUAAAGGAUGAAUAUAUUUAUCAUUUAUUGAAAAGUUGACUUAAAAAAACAUCAAAUAAGGGUAGAAUUGUAAACUUUCUUAAUUUUUUAAUGCAAGUGAAAUCUAAAAAGUGACAUAUAAAAAGGAACGAAGGGAGUAAUUAUUAUAUUUAAAGAGUGAUAUAGUAAAACUACCCUUCUAUCUAUAAUUUCUAAAGUGCAAAAUCAAUAAUGGACAACUAUUGUUGGACAGAGGAAGUACAUCAUAAUACUUAUUUGGCUUACUUUUCAUAAUUCAUAUUACAUAAAAUUACUAAGCAUGAAAGAAAAAAAUUCAUCUAACAUCCGGAGUGUUUUUGGAUACAAUCAAUAUAAUAAUGAAAGUUAACCAAAUUGCAUCUAAAAAUCUUCAAUAAAAAAAGAAUCUACACUUCUUAAACAUUCACUUUACAAUCUUCAAUUUCCCAUAUAUGAAAAGGGAUAAAAAUGAAUAUAUUUUUUCUCAUUUCAUCUCCAACUAACACCAUGAUAACUUCUCAAAUUUCUUCUUCAUUUCAACCCUUCUUGAAAAUGAACAACAACCCCCCAUCCACUAUCCCUUCCUCCACCAUGAAUCGUUUUCCACUUGAUAAUUCAUGUGAUGAUUUUGUUUCAAAAAAGAGAGAGAGUAAUACACACAUAUCAGAUAUUAUUUGAGGUGCGUUUUUUUAAAUUUAUAAGUGAUAGUUUAGAUGUGUUUCUCACAUUUUCAGUAGUUUAAUAUGUUAGGUACGUUUUAGACACUUCACUUUUUAAAUUUUGAAUUUUUUUACAGUUUCAUGUAGAUAUCAUUUAUUUUUAAAAAAAAGGAGUGUAACACACACACCGUCACUUAUUACAUGAGGUGUGUUUUUCAAAUGUAUGAGUGAUAGUUUAGGUGUGUUUCUCACACUUCUAGUAAUUUAGAUGAAACUCAAAAAAAGGAAAAAAAAUUUAGCUCAAAUAUGCCAUCCAACUUUGAGAAAAAGACUCAUUCUAUGUCAUCCAUUAAAAGUUUGUUUCAUCUAUGCAUGGAUAAGCCUUUUCUCAAACGCAAACAACAUAAAUGAACCAAAUAUUUAACUGAUGACAUAGAUAAGUCAUUUCUCAAAAUUUGAUGACAUAUUAAAGCUUUUUUCCAAAAGAAAUAUAACAAUUUAAAUAUAUUUUUGACACGACUAAUUUCCCCUUCCAAUUUUCUAACCUUUGGUUGUUCUCUAUCCCUUCUGACUGUUAUAUCAUUUACUUCUUGCAAUUUAUUUCAUUAUAUUUUCAUUAUCAGGGACAAAUAAUUUCGUCAUUUAUAAAUUAUAUUUCGUCACUAAAAAACUUGUGAGACGAAAAAUAAUUCGUCACUCAGUCGUCACUAAAUGCGUGUCUCUAAAAGUAUACAAAGACGAUUUAGUGCUUCGUCGCUAAAAGUAUUAUAUUAACUGCAAAAAGAAAAAUCGUCCCUAAAUGCUUUAACAUUUGUGACAAAUUUAUUUGUCGUAAAAAGUAUAUUUUUUUGUAGAUAAUAGUAUGUUUUGUCACUAAAAAUGUUAUUACUAUCGACAAAAUUAUAUCAUCGCUAAUUAUUUUACUUCAAUCAGUGACGAUAUCAAUUGUCUCUAAAGUUAUAUGCAUUUCGUAGUUGAACAAAAUCUAAUUUCGUCACUAAUGACUAUUUUAUAUACCAAAAAUUAUUUUGUUAUUAAAUGUAUUAAUUAGGGAAAAAAUUAUUAUUAUAAAAAGGAUAAUUUUCCUAUUAUCCUCCACCAUCUCAAAUUUAUUUUAAACUCCUCCCUAGAAGCUCCCACAUUAUGCUUUCUUGGGGAUUCGAACUCACAACCUUAAGGUUGGAAGUGAAGAGUGCUUACCAUCCGAUCAACUCUCUCUUGUCUCUCAUUUUUAAUUUAUUUUCUACUUCAUUCACUUUUUUCAAAUUUAACUUUUGUAGAUAUAAUAUAUUAUAUGAUUAUUUAUACACAUACACAAGUGCGUUAAUUUUACCACCCACAAUUCAUUCAAAUGUAGAUUAUAUUUUAAUUAAACUGUUAUAAUUUUUAACAUAUCUUUAAAUAUAUUCAGUACGAUUCUGUCAUUUUAUUCAGUUAUUUUUAUAAUUUUUAAAAAUUAUUUAGUACAUUUAUAAAUUUAUAUAAAAUUAAACUUUCGAUUUUAUUUAAAAAAUUGAAUAAUCGGGUUUCAAUUCGGUCCGUAAAUCAAUUGUUUUGAAAAAAAAACAUCGAUACCCAUAACUAUAAUACUUCAUCAUAAUAUAUUUGAAAUCCUAGGUUGUUGAAUCCUUUCAUUUUUUAGUUUAUUUCGAUUUUCACACUGAUGGAAAAGGUUAAUAGAAACUCAUGAAAUAUUUCGCACCUUUGCAAAGUCUAAGUUUGUAAGUCGAUGUUAUCUCUGUAUAAUUGAUCUAUGUGCGUUUGCUUUUUUAGUUUAUUUCGAUUUUCACACUGAUGGAAAAGGUUAAUAGAAACUCAUGAAAUAUUUCGCACCUUUGCAAAGUCUAAGUUUGUAAGUCGAUGUUAUCUCUGUAUAAUUGAUCUAUGUGCGUUUGCGGAAUUACUAUUAAAUAUCUACAUAUUUUUAGACAGAAGCAAAUAGAUCGACUUAGUCUAUGCAGUUUACCAAUCACAAAUCAAUAGACAUGCACCAAAAUUAGCACCAAGACUAGAGAAAUUAUUUUUUAAAAUCGUCUUUAUCGAUGAAAGUGUGUCAAAUAAAAAACAAAAGUGUUAAACCAACAAAUAUUAGUGAUCUAGUGGCAGAACCGUACCCCACUGACGAUACUUAUAACCUGGAUUGUAUUUUUGAAAUGAUGCAUUUUAUAAUUGUGUUAUUUAAGAAAAUUCAUGAAUUGAACUUUUUCAUUUUUACAAAAUGGACCGAAUUCGUUGGUUUUAAUAUUUUCCCUCGCCAAUUAAUGAAAGGACUAUGUCUAUUUCUUAUGAAGCACUUAUAUUAUUCUUUUUGUAAGCUGUCACUUGUAAUUAUGAACAAUUGUAGCAAAAAAUAAAUUGUAUUUAGCUAUGAAUUUUUUUCGUAGCAAAUAGUUGAAUUAUUCACUACAAAUUUUAAGUCGUCGCUAUUUAACACCUUACAUAUAUUGUGACAAGUUUUUUGUUGUCACUAAAUCACAAAUUGAUUAGAGACAAUAAAAUCUUUGUCACCAAUUAUUUAUUCUAUUAGUGACAAAAAUAAAUAUCAUAAUUAAAGCUAAAUUCUUAUAGCUAAAACUUAUAAUAUUUAACUACGAACUCUAAUUUGUCGAUAUUGUAACAAUAUAUUUUUUUAGAUGAAAUUUUUUUGGAUCCAAAAAUCAAUAGAUUUUUAGACAAAAAAUAUUUUUUCAUGAAUUAGAUACAUUAUUAGUGACGAAAUAACGUGCCACCGAUAACUUUAAAUUCGUGACUAACACUACUUAACAAAUGGCGCCAAUUAAUUUUUUGGUGGGAAACUUUAGUAGGCGAAACUUUGCUACGGAUUUAUAUGUUUAGUCACUAAAAGUAUGUGUCUCAUAUAUUUAAGCACGAAAAGUAAAUUUUGUGUCAUUAAAAGCGAACAAUUAGUGACAAAUUUGAUGUCGUAGCUAAUAAUUUCGUAGCUAUAUAUCAUAUUUGUUGUAGUGAUUAAUUAUUCUGGGAUUAGUUAUCCUAGGAUAACUUAUCCCACCAUGUAUAUGGGAUAACUUAUCCCAUCACUAUGGUAUAAAUGGUGGGAUAAGUUAUCCCAAACAUGACAACCAAACAAGACACCAAAUUUAUCCCGAGACUAUUUUUUUAUCCCAAGACUAUUUAUUCUUAUCCCUCACACCAAACGACUCCGUUUUCUAUCAUAUAUUUUUAUUACAAAAUUCAUGCAUCAACUAUCCAUGGUCUUCUUUGUCUUCCUAAAUUAUCACUCUCUUUGUAUUUAAACACACUCCAAUGUUGAGUUGAUGAAAUAUUUGUUUCCACUCAAUAAUAAGCGUGUGCAAGGUGUGUUUUAAUACAAAGAAAGUGAUAGUUAAGGUAUGAUAUUUAUAAAAAAUGUGAUAAUUUAAGUAUAGAUAAAUAGAACAAUGAAUAAUUAAGGUAUGAAACUCGAAAAAAAUAUAUCGACCAUUAGUGAAUAUGCACUUCUUACUAUGAAGUUUUGUGAAUAUAAAUAGAUGACUACUAUAUGCAAGCUAAGCGUGAUAGAAUAAAUUAAAUCAGCAAACUCAUAGACAAAUGCCACCUUUGAAAAUUGGUCUUAGUAAUGGUAGAAAAUACUCCCAUUUGAUUUUUGACCAUCCAUGUCAAUAAAAAUAAUAUUUAAAAAAAAUAUAAAAUCACACAUGAAAGUGAUGGUGAAAUUACUCUCUUUAUUUCAUUUUUACUUGUGACAGUUUGACUUAACACACUCAUUAAAAAAAUAAUUAUUGAUAUAGAUAUUUUAUCAAACUAUCCAUAUUAAAAAAUGAUGUCUUGGAAAAUAAGUAUUAGAUGUUGAGGAUAAAACAUGAAAAAAUAAAUUGUAUUUUCUUAAUAUGUCAAAAGUGACAAGUAAAAAUCAAAAUCUAUUUUAGGAAUAAGUGACAGUAAAAGUGAAUGGAUGGAGUAUAAGACCACAUAAUACAAUUAAAAAAUAAAAUGAAGAAAAUAAAAAAAAUUCAGGUUGAGGCGCAGAUAUCUCGUUCUCUUUAUGGAGAUUCAAGACCAUUGCAAUAAAUGUUUUUCAUCGGUUGGUCCAACAGUAUUCCUCUUUACUUGUCCCCUCCAGAAUACAACAGCUUAAGUAUAACUCACAACAAACUCUGGCCAAGACUUUAAUUGAAAGCUCCACAAAAAGAACACAUCUCUUCAAUUAAUACGAACUCUUUUUUUUUUUGACUAAUUUUUAUGCAUUCUUUAUUUUCUUGUACUAAAAAACAAUGAAAGACCACUACUAUUUAUAGUUAAGAAAUUCUUCCUUACAAUGAGUAAGAAGACAACAGAGUACUCCCUCUGUCCCUAAUUACUUGUCCAUUUUUCCUUUUAUAGUUGUCCCUUAUUACUUGUCCAUUUUGAUAAAUCAAGAAAAGACAAUUUUUUUUUACCUAUUAUACCCUCAAUUAAUUACUUUGAAAAAGGUAGAACUUUUUGAAAAUCUUAAAUUUUUAAUUCAUCCACUUCAUAAUUAAUAGGGGUAAAAUGGUAAACUCACUAUGUCAAUAAUUGUUUUCUUAAUAGGUGUGUCAAUUUAAAAGUGGACAAGUAAUUAGGGACAUAGGAAAUAGUAAAUAAGGAUGAUAAAUGAUUUAGAGGUUACAUAAGUUAUUCUUUUCCAUCAAGUAAUGAUUAAUUAAGCCCAACAAACAAAAGAUGAAAUGCACCAUAAAGGAAAAAUAGUAUACCCUCCAUCUCAUAUUAGAUAGUUACUUUCUAUUUUACACUAUAAUUAAGAAAUUAUUAAUAGAGUAAUUAACUUUACUAUUUUACCCUUUGUUCAUAUUAAUUAGCUUCUUGAAAAAAAUAGGAAAUUUUGAAUCUUCAAAAUUUGUUUAUACUUCCGAAGGUCAUAUUAAUUGUAAGGGUAAAAUGGGAAAACCCUGAUUAAUUUUAUCAUGAUUUAGUAAAUGAUCAAGUAAUACUGACAAAUAUUUUAAAUAAAAAUGUACAUCUAAGACAAUGCAUAUGAUGCAUAUUUUUUAUUAAUAUUUAAAUAUUGCUAAAAAUCAACAAAAGUGAUAUGUUAGUAGAAAAGAAUAGGGUUCAGAGGAGACUGAAGAGGUCACAAGUUACCACUACUAUAUAAGUGGUUGACAAAUCAAUCAUCAGAGGUGAAUUAUAUUAAGUUUUAAGGAUUUUGUGGUCUUUAUAGACGACGAGAAUAGUUUAGAUUUUCAAAAUUCACAGAGAAUAAAUUAAAAUUAUCUCUAAUUUUUAAAUUUUGAAUGGAUAGAAGUUGAGAUCUUAAUCUGAUUCAUCUAUAAUAGUGGUAUUUGAAUAUAUUACUGUGAUACAAGAAAUCGUGAUUCAUGUUAUUUGCUAAUGAUAUUAAAGUUAUGGAGAAGCACACUAGAGAGUAAUAUUUAAGAAAGAAUAUGUAGAAGAAGUAAUAUUGACUAUAUAUAAAUUGCAAGUUUAGUCAGCACACGAACAAUAAAGCUAAUGUGACGUACGAUAAAUACAAAUAUUCUAAUAUUUAAUUGCAUGAUUGAAAUAAAUAAAAAACAUUUUAUCUAGGUAGUUAGGUGUUAUUUGAAUAAAAGAAUGAAAAUUAAAGACCGAGUCCACUUGCCUAAUUAUAUAAAGUCAUUGUUUUUAUUUCAUCAUCUGGUGUUCAAAACUCAUACUAGAGCUCUAACUAAAUUUGAAUCACGUACUGUAGGACUUAUUCAGGGUGACACUCCCAACAUAAUUUUCUCCAAAUUCAAGGCUCGAACUCGAAAUAUCUGGGUAAUGAUGGAGCAAUCCCAUCAAGGCAUGGUUUAUUCCCAACAAAGCUGGAAAGUGAUCAUUUUGUGUAACAAAUUGCCAUAUUAUAUAAUAACCUAUUGCCCAAUUGCCUUUUUGUCAACUUAUGAUGAAAAUGUUGCAUUACCAAUUUUGUUAUUUAAUUUUCAUUUUCUGAUACAUAUAAAAAGAGCAAAACUUGACAAUUUCAAGUUUGACAUUGUCUACUCUCCAGCUUAUUGCUUAGUAGUAUGAUUUAUAGAUUGAUCAGAUAAAAUUAUUAGUCUAGAAAAGUUUUUCCAUAUACAUAAAAUAAAGAUGUAGAGUUUAGUAAUUUUAGGAGGAAUUUGAAGUAUUUUAGAGUUUUAUAAAUGGAAGACCAUUUAGGAUGAACUCAAAGAUUUUUCAAGAUAAAUCUAAAGAAUCAUAUGGGACUUUUUGAUCUUAGUCUUAUAAAUUUUAUCAUAGAUGACUUAAUUUAGUUUUCUUUUACAGAUGCAAAAAAUAAAUCACAGUAUAAUCGCAAUAAUUGUAGUUUUAAAUUUUUUAUUUUUUUCAUUCACAUUUUUUGUUUUAUUUCUCAUAUUUUUACUUUAAAAAUGAAAGAAAAAUAAAAAAUUCAAAUAAUGAUAAGAGAAUGGAUCUAUAAGGGAGAUAUUUAAAAUUUAAAUUAGUCAUUGAAUUAAAGAAGUAAAUAAAUCAUAUAUGAGAAAGAUCAAGUAUACUCUAAACUCUGCUAGACGGAUCAUAUAUAUCUAUAUAUAAUUUUUUAAAAAUAAAAAAUCAAAAAAUAAAUUCAAAAUCAAUGUUUUUUCAUUUUCAUUAGAUGAAAAAUGUAUAUGUGAGUCACUUUUAUAAUGGUAAUAUAUAUGAAUAACUUUUAUAACGAAGAAUAUAUCAACUUUAAAUCAUAAAAUUGAAGGGUAUAACGUACGAUUUUUCUAUUACUCCCUACGUCUAUCGUUAUUUGUCCAAUAUACUAAAAAUAGUUGUCCAACUUUACUUAUUCAGAAAAACUAAGAGAUAAUUAUCAAUUUAUGUCUAUUUUACCUUUCCUUUCUAUUAAAUACUAUUUAUUUUUUAAUAUUUAAAUAAUUUAUAAUUAAUAAAAAUAAUAUAACAAAACUACUAAUCUAUUUGUGGAGUUCUUCUUAAGAAAUAUAUCAAAUUAAUAAUUAUUUUCAAAAAUAAAAUCUGAGUAUGACCGGUAAACGUUAUUUCUACUAGCUAUUUCUGGCACUUCAUUAUCUUUUCUAAGUUUCAUAUAAACAAAAGUUUCACUUAAAAAGUUCCAACAUAUCUAAAACAAAUAACACACACACAAAAAGGCUUUAAUACUGGUUGAAAAUAGUUCAAACCUGAUCCAAAAAUCCCAUUGAUAGGUCAAUAUGAUGAAACUAUCUAUCCAUGGGAAACAAUAAUGCUAAAAAUGAACAAUGUUUUUAUUUUAUUUUAUAUAUGAAACAGAAAUGGUAAUAAAAUGAGAUAUGGGCAUAGUUCAAUGAUGAGAGUGAUGUUCAACUAAUAAAAAACAGAGAUGAUAAGAAAAUGACAAAAAAAAUACAACUGAUAUAAACUGUCAAUUAAUGUAAUAAAUGUUGUAAAUCAUUUUGGUGGUUAAAUGGAUAACCAUAACUCCUUGGUUAAUUUCCCUCCUUUAUGAGUAGUAAUAUUGUUGAUAAUGUGGUCAAAUGGAUGACCAUAACUCCUAGGUUAAUUUCAUCCUUUAUUGGUAGUAAUGUUGUUGAUAAUAUGGUUAAUUGAAUGACCAUAACUCCUAGGUUUAUUUCCUCCUUAAUGGAUAGUAAUUCUCAAGGUUUAAUGUAAUGUUUAUGACACCAUUUGGUAUUUCUCAAUGUAAUCCUAUAAAUAGUGGUGUUGAAAAUAAUGUUGAAGACACUUGAAAGAAAGAAUAUUAGUUUAUAUUGUUCCUCUUGUCUUAUAGUCUUCUUCUCUUCCUCUUUAUAUUGUUCUUUUGUUCUUAAAUUUUAUAACACGUUAUUAGCACGAAACUCUAAUAUCAUUUCAAUUUUUCCAAGUUAAGCUUCUGGUAUGUCUUCAUAUACUUAAUUCUCAUUAUUAAUCACUCUAAUAUAAUAUACUACAUAUUAUGAAAUGGUUAGGUGUUAAACAGUGUGUGUAUAUUUUUGGUAGUUAAACAAUGGAAUAUAUAUAAGUCCAAAAAGUUUAUGUUCUCGCCUAAUCAUCAAGUGAAUUAUGCUAUUUUAAAUUAGUUAAAUUUUAAUUUUGUCUAGCAAUUUUGCUAGAAAUUAUUUAAGUUAUAUGUUAGGCAGAAUGUUCAUUUAAAUUGCUCGGAAGUUUGAUACUAACACAUUAAUUUACUAAUUGAUGUUACUUUGUACAAUAACAUGUGUCACGUUAUUAUCAUGGAUAAAAAAAAAGUUUUAUUAAUUACUUAUGUACUCACUAUUUAUUUUAGUCUAAUUUAAUUAUUUUCUAUGAUAGUUUUAUCAUGUCGAAUUUAUCAAAGCUUGAGUUCGUGGCAUUUGACAUUUCUGGAAAUAAUUACUUGUCAUGGGUACUCGACGCUGGAAUUCACCUUGACGCUAAAGGUCUUGGUGCUACUAUUACCAAUGGUAAUACGACGUCGAGUCAAGACAAAGCAAAGGCAAUGAUUUUCCUUCGUCAUCAUCUGGAUGAAGGAUUGAAGGUUGAAUACCUUACGGUGAAAGAUCCACUUGAAUUGUGGACUGGUUUGAAGGAAAGGUAUGACCACCUUAAGGUAACGGUAUUGCCAAUGGCUCGUUAUGAAUGGAUUCACUUACGGUUACAAGAUUUUAAAACUAUAUGUGAAUAUAAUUCUGCUAUAUACAAAAUUGCUUCCCAAUUGAAAUUAUGUGGGGAAGAUAUAAAAGAUGAGGAUAUGUUGGAAAAGACUCUCACAACUUUUCAUGCCUCAAAUUUGGUAUUACAGCAACAAUACUGUGAAAGGGGAUUCAAAAAGUAUUCUGAGUUGAUCUCCUGCCUUCUUGUGGCUGAGCAACAUAAUACUCUUUUAUUGAAAAACCAUGAGGCUCUUCCCACGGGAACUGCUCCGUUACCGGAAGCAAAUGAGGUUGAAGCACAUGGCCAGUCUGAGAGAAGACAAAAUAAAAACCAGGGUCAAAAUAAUGUGCGCGGACGUGGCAAUGGCAGGGGACGAUAUAAUAAUCGUCGUGGUGGUGGUCGCCACAAAAGGGAGAACAAUAUGGGUUCUCAAAGCAAUCCUUCAAGAGGCAAUUGUCAUCGUUGUGGCAUGAAAGGGCAUUGGAAGAAUGAAUGCCGAGCAACUGAGCAUUUUGUUAGGCUUUAUCAAGAUUCCUUUAAAAGAAAAGGAAAUAAAAAUGGUACAUCUUCUUCUAAUGCGCGGGUGGAGUCACACUUGACUUAUAAAAAUGAUGCCGNNNNNNNNNNNNNNNNNNNNNNNNNNNNNNNNNNNNNNNNNNNNNNNNNNNNNNNNNNNNNNNNNNNNNNNNNNNNNNNNNNNNNNNNNNNNNNNNNNNNAUGAGCCUCCUCACAUUAGGUUUUCGAUAAAAAAAAAAUAAUGAGAUAAUUUACAACCACGCAAAUGUACAUAAUUUAUUAUAAAAAAAAAUAAUUUAACCAUUGAAAUAACACGAUUUAAAAUUAAUCAAUAUUAAUAAUAUUUAUCAAGAAUUUAUUGUACACGUAAUAAUAUAAUUUACUACCACACUAAUAUAUAUAACUUAUUUUAAAUGAAAAAAAUUAAUUUACUUUAAAAAAUUAUAAAUAAAUAUUGGAUUCGUACAUCACAUGAAUUUCCCCUUACUAGUUUAUUACAAUAUAAAGAAGUAGGCUGCCAAAGGUGGACCUUAUCUUUGUCAUUAAAAUAAUGGUAACUCAACUCUAUAAAUAGCCUAGAAUGAUGUAGCUCUUCUUGUACUCCACUAUAUUUUCCCUAGUAAGCAAUACUCUUGAUCCCUAGCUCAUUUAUAGUUCCAAAGGCAUGGGUCUAAAGUCCAAAUUGUGUGCCCAAAUAGAAGUGAAGGCUAAGAAUGAUGUGUUUCAUGAUGCCUUUAGGCACAAACCACAUCAUGUAUCCACCAUGUGCCCUGUCCAUAUACAAGGUUGUGAGUGUCUUGAAGGAGACUUUGGAACUGUUGGCUCCAAAAUUUGUUGGAAGUAUACCCAUGGUAAGCCCAUUUUUGUAAAAAUUAUUAAGAAUUUUGAUUUUUUUGAAAAAUUUACUGACAAAUUUAAGGUGUUUCAUUCGUUUAUAUAUUAAGCAUAUACUUAAUUAAGCAAGGAUGAGGACCAUGUUGCGCCGAGAUCAAACUUUAAGAGACAAACACUAUCGUCUCUUUAUUAAGAUCUAUCGUGUAUAAUUAUUAAGAAUGUUAAAAACCUUAGAAGAUCACUAUUAAUAUAGAUUAAUCUUUUAACGAUAGCAACAAACUUCAUACAAUUAUUUCUUUACAAUAUAUGUGCAAGUCCAUAAAAAAUUCUAACAGAUCAUUCGUUUAAUUUACUACAAGUGUAUAACUUGCCUUGUCAUUGUGUUAGUAAUUUGAAAUGACAAUCGUAUUAAUUUACUACUAUUUAUGAGUUUGAUGUACGUAACGAAAUUUUGUAUAAUCCAGAUGGGAAAGAGAAGUUUUCGAAGCAGAUAAUUGAAGCUAUAGAUGAAGAGAAAAAGAUAAUCACAUUCAAGGAAUUUGAAGGAGAUAUAGUGAAUGAAUAUGAGAAGUGGAAGGUAAGUCUCCAUGUUGAUGAAGAAGGUGUAAAGGAUUUAGUCGGUUGGACUAUGGAAUAUGAAAGGCCAAAUGAGAAUGUCCCUGAGCUAACAAAUUUGCUUCAAUUUUUCAUUGAUAUGACCAAAUCUAUUGAUGAUCACCAUGUCAACAAGCCAAAUUGAUAAUAUAAAUUAGAACUAUAUGAGUUUGUGCUUUAAUUAAAUAAACACUUGACAUUAUGUUAUAUAAUAUAAUAUAUAUAAUAUGAGAGAAUGUCAAGUAAUUUGUAUUUUUUUUCUUUUCUAAGUAAUAAUAAAGACAUUUUAGUUUUGCGCACACAUUUUCUAUAUGUUCUCACUCUACUUAAAGAGAAAUUUCAAUUUUGAAUUGGUUACUUGUGAUUAUAUUUUGGUAGUCUGAUGAAGUUGAGAAGAAAUGACAAAAUACAAAUUGAUUUUGGUUAAUUGUUGACAUAAUUGUAUUCGUCGAUGCAAAUUGUAUUCUUUAAUUGACAUAAUGUCAUCCUUUUUAGGUAAGAGAGUAACAAAAGUAAACAUUAAAGCUCUUGAGAAAAUGUUCCUGAUGAUGGAACUAGUUCACGACAUUUAGAAAUUCCUGACAAACUAUACUCCAACAUUUUUGCUAGAAGCACAUAGUAAGCCCGUCUAGCCUGGGGGCUUUGUACCCCUCACUCGUUAGUUCACUAAGAUUUCUUCUUCUAAGAAUGGUUGCAUCAAAGCUGAAUUGUCUUCAUGAGAGAUAACCAGAUGACUCCUCAUAAGUUGGUUCUCAUAGGCCUACAGUCGCUCGAGUCAAUGCAGACAUAGCUAAGAAUAAAACAUGAUGAGUGUAAUUGAUUUGUAAUGAAUACGACCUUUGUGGCAGAAAAAUAAACAAACAGGAUGAGUAUAAAUGAUCCAUAUCGGUGAUACCAACUGGCUGGGAUUAAGUGUUAAUUGUUAUUGGUACACUUGCUAGGUUGGGGAAAGCGGAAGUUUAGAGAAUUCCAACUUUCUAGAGCCCAUAGUUUACGGCAAAUUACUUAUACGUAUUUGAAUGAAGUGGGCCGAAUGAAGCAGAAUUGAUAGAGGAUUCGUAUCUCCUUCUCCAAUUUGGGAUUAAGGUGUAGUUGAUUGCUAAGUUGCUCGGACUCGGGUCCGGGUGUUGGAAGGAAAGAAAUUCACGGAUUCUGUAGAGCAAAUUUGAAUCCGUAAUUAGUAUUAAGUACAAAUGCAUCUCCUUACUAUUUUUUGGUGCAAUAUAGAUUUCUUGAGUUAAUUGCACAUUCAAAAGUGAUGUUGACCUGUAAAUAUCUUUAAAACACCUUCUGGUUGUGGACUUCUAAUGCAAAUAUCUUUUACUUAUAAAAAAACUAUGCCUAAAUUAUGAUUUCACCCUAGCUUUUGUGUUUUGAUUUCAGAAAUUUUUGUAUCUGUCUCGAAUUUCUCAAUUGAUUUUGGUCAAAGUACUCGAAAUCGACUGACCAUAUUCGGUAUAGAUCCCACACCCACACCCACACCCAUGUUGUGUUGAUACGAGUGCGGCACCGAAAGUGAAGAGGUCGUGCAACUUAGGAUGGUUGAUAUGUUGAAGGGCACAGGUAUUAAAGUGAGAGUUCAAGUUUUCGUAAUGUUUAAAUAGGAGUGAGUCAUAAGGUGAGAGAAGCUUACCUUCAGAAUAGUUUACACCACCUUUAAUGCAGAAGUGGAUGCAAUGGUCCCUUUUUGAGUAACUUUUCUUCUCUUUAAGGAAAAUCAAUGCUAUUAUAAGACAACCAAAAGUGGAUUGUGAGAUCUUAGAAUUAAACUGGGAAAAGGGAGUAGUAUUUUGUAUAUUGCAUGGGUCAUGAGGUCAAGUUCUUCUUGUCAACCAUCUAUAUACCAUAUAAAAUUCGUUUGAAUUUAAUGAUAGCUCUGGACAUUAUGAUAGUCCACUGAUGGUCAGAUUGAUAUUGGUAUUAUGAGCCAGAACAUUUUCUCCUAAGUUCUAUCAUUUGACUACGGUGUUUCAAGUUGGCCAAUAAAUACUAUGUGAUGCUGUCAUAAACCUUCCUUUCAUCAUCUUUUCUGAAUCUAUGGUUGUGAGAAACGCUAUAUUGAACAACUGGGAAGGAUCACUUGUUAGCAUAAAAACGCUGUACUUUUUGUAGUCGCCUCCUCUAUUAUGUCUUUCUUCAGUAUUUGGUUGCAUCCAGGUUUAGGAGAAUUAAGAUGAAUUUCCACCAAGAUGGGUGAAGAAUUCUGGGAGAAACCAUAUACUUAGCCCAGAUCGGUGAGGAAAUUAAUAAUCCUCUCAAUCGGGGAUGCAACUCCCAAAUACGGAAGAAAUAAGGAACUGAAAAUGCCUUCUUGAAAACUGUGGUAAUGGAAAUUCUGCAAUCUAGGAUCUAGAAAGCAAAAUAAUAGAGAUGAUUGUUAUUAGAAAUUAGAGUUCAUGCUAUGCAUUAAAGGUUACCUAUCUUCUUCAGUUAUUGCUUUCUUCGAGUUCAUGUUUACCCUUCUGAGUUAAAAAGUGUUUCACUUGAUAAAAAAUGCUAAAUUCGAUCAUAUCUGAUAUGGACAAAAUACUUAGAUGGACAGUGUCAGUUCUCAAUGAAACCUUACUGCAAGAGAUAUUCGUCCGGAUUAUGGUGGUAGUUUUAGACUGCUACUGUAGUGGACUUACGAACCUCUGUUUCUUUCUUUUGGCAGGAAGAGAAGGAACAAAAGAUCCGUGAAUUGACUGCCAAGUUAGAGAGUAUAAAUCAACAAUCGGAAGUUUAUCGUGCCAAUCUAUUAGCAGUUUUGAAAGACAUGGAGGAGGAGAAACUAAAGCUAUCUGUGAAAGUGCAAAAUGCACGGCUUAGCUUAAAGGAGUAAAUCCUUUCAUUCAUUUUUCUUGUUUCAAAUGAUUGUGAAUAGAGUAAAUCCUUUCAUUUAUUUUUCUUGUUUCAAAUGCUUGUGAAUUUAGUCCUCAUUUAUGAGAAGCAUGAAGAUGAAAUAUACAUGGCCAGAAUUCAGCUAGCAUAUUUUUCUUCACCUCCAGUGAUGUUGGCGGAUCUAGGAUUUUCAUUAAGGAGGGUUCGACACGAUGAAUUUUGAAGCCCUUCAACCAAUUAAUCAACCUUUAAUCUUAUGUUCUGG
Molecule: long non-coding RNA, 59994 nt
Filed under: Solanum tuberosum (potato)
Lineage: Eukaryota; Viridiplantae; Streptophyta; Magnoliopsida; Solanales; Solanaceae
Description: long non-coding RNA (STUB_LNC007034)
Source: RNAcentral